AAUCAGCAAUUUUGCCACCUGAGUUUGUAGCUGAACUGAAACAAAAGAAAGGGGUCUAAUAGCAAGUUGGUGCCCACAAGAGCAAGUCCUUAACCACGCAUCAGUCGGAGGGUUUUUGAGGCACAGCGGCUGGAAUUCAACGAUUGAGAGUCUAACUGCAGUUGUGCCUAUGCUUUGCUGGCCAUUUUUUGCUGACCAACAAACUGACUGUUACUAUACUUGCAACGAAUGGGGCAUUGGCAUGGAGAUUGAUAAUGAUGUCAAGAGAGAUGUAGAGAAGCUUAUUAAAGAGUUAAUGGAGAGGGAGAGAAUGGUAAGAAAAUGAAAAAUAAGGCCAUGGAGUGGAAGAAACUGGCACAAGAGGCAACUGGUUCACAUGGUUUUUCAUCCACAAACUUUGACAAUAUAGUGAAUCAAGUUCCGUUAAGGAAAAGGUAGAUGUCAUCCUUAAGAACAUUGUCAUUAGUAACAACUAGAUGUUAUUGGUACAAGAUAUGGUAAAUGUUUGUUGGUCUUUUAAUAACUAGAAUAAAUGUACCCCAUUAUAUUUAAACUAGUUUAUACUUUUUUUAGAAAUAUAUUUAAAGAGAGCUUGAAACAUCGUGUUCAUUGAUUUUAUUGGUCUCAGAUACAUUGAUGAUUUUCAAUUUGCAUGAUUUUUUUGAAAGGAUGAUCUCUGAAUGAAUAUGUGAAAAAUAGAUGGUUUGAAUUGUUGAAAAAAAUUUCGUAAAGAACCCUAAAAAAUAUCCCUGAAAUAAAAUUAUUUCAAAAAUCUCUUCAUAAAAAAGGAAUAUAUAUAUAUAUAUAUAUAUAAUUUUGCUCUAAUUCAGACGUCCGCAUUUUGUUAAACUACGGUUGUCCACAAAUUUGCCAAUAUAUAUAUAAAUGCAAAUAAAAGCUUAUAUGCUGCCAGAUUACUUUCACCUUGGCAGAGGUGUGGGCCCUCCAAAAAGUAUCCCAAAUGUGGGAGUAUGGAGAUGCAGAAGAAGAAGCAGUACCAUUGGUUGCUCUCAAGGCUCUUGCAACGUGUUAAGUACUUUGUACUAAACUGCCAUUUUUAAUUAAUGAAUUCAACAACUUUCUAGUGCUAAUUGGAAUUGCACGAAUCAAAUCCACCUCUUCUGCAAAAAAACAAGUUGCAAAGUGGACAACCGUAGUUUAACAAAAUGCGGAUGUCCCAUUAGAGAAAACUCUCUCUCUCUAUAUAUAUAUACAUUAUUUGAUAUGCAAUUCAAAUUAAGAUUUAAUAUUAUAACUAGUUUAUACUUUUUAUGAAAAUGAAGUGUAAACCAAUUAUGUAGCACAUUUAGGGUGCCGCCGGCACUCUGUAACAUACUUUCUGCCUUUAUUUGCUUGGCUAUUUUUUAUUUAUUUAAAAAUUUAUGUAAUUGCAUUCAUAAUUCAAUUAGAAAAGUUACUAACUAUAAAAGGUCAUUACAAUAAUAGAACAAUCUAACAUCAAAAUUAAAAUAAUUUUGCGUGUCUCCACUAACGAUCACGCAAGAUCGAAGAAAUUUUGACAUAGGCAUCCCAAUUAAGAUUGAAAACUCAGAAUAAUUACAAAGAGAGAUAAAAUUUGAAAAAAUAAGUCAUAACAAUACAAAUAAAACUUUCAAAAUAAAUGAUAGAUGAAAAGUUCUUACAAAGGAUAAGUGAAAGGUUCUCACAAAAAGAAAUGUGAAAACUACAUAGAGAACUCAAAGAGUCUCUGUGACUUAUUCCAAAUAUAAAGAAAUCGGAAAAAAAAUAAUGGUAAAGAUCCGAUGCGAAAAUGCAAGUAGAAAUUCAACACCGAAACGCAGAUACAAAAUUAAAAUGCAAAGACAAGACAAACAACCUUAAUUAAAAUGCACAAAAAGAUCCUGAGAUCCUAUAUAUCUUACGAACUACCACCACAAAAAGUCACACCUAGCUUUUGGGUGCCGGCCAGGCUGGCUUCUCUUUGUAAUCUUUUCUUUUCUAAAUAAAAAAACAAAACUGAAAUAGUGGUGAUUGGAAUCAAUACAUGGCAUUAAUUUGAGAUAAGCUCAACAGCUACAGAGAUGAAUCAGACUCAAUCAACCAUGCACGCAAGUUCUACUCAAUAAUAAAUGUCCCGAGCUACCAAGAUUCACAUUGAGUACCCUCCAAACCCCAUCACCAUAAUUCUUACUAUUUAUAUAUAGACAAGGUAAAUCGACCGACGUCUUUCAUCAUGUAGGGCCAACAAACGAAAAAGGAGAUGGGCAAAAACCAGUCACUCGUUGAAAGUUAGCUAGCCCACCACUCCUAUAAAUAAAUAAUCUCUCCAUUUGUAUGAGUGAGCACAAAAAAGAUCUAAAACAUGACUUCCACGAUAGUAGCUCAUAAUAAGCCUCAUGCUGUCUGUGUUCCAGUCCCAGUUCAGAGCCAUAUAAAAGCCAUGCUCAAGUUGGCAAAGCUCCUUCACAACAGAGGCUUCCACAUUACCUUUGUCAACACAGAGUUCAACCACAGACGCUUUCUUAAGUCUCAAGGCCCCAACUCCCUUGAUGGCUUGACUGAUUUUCGGUUCGAAACCAUCCCCGAUGGCCUUCCGGACUCAGAUGAAGGUGCAACGCAAGAUGUCACUUUGCUUGCUGAAGCCGUUGUAAAAGAUGGUUUCUUGGCUCCGUUUCGUAACCUCCUCGUAAAACUCAAGGACGCAGCAACUUCCAAUAAUAAUCCUCCGGUGACUUGCAUUGUUUCCGAUGGUUUCAUGUCGCCGUUCGCCAUCAAAGCUGCCGAAGAAUUUGGACUCCCUAUUGCACUCUUCUUCACUAUUGCUGCAUGCAGCUUCAUGGGAUUUAAACAAUUUCACGCUUUGGUCGAAAAAGGACUUGCACCACUCAAAGGUGAGAUUAAUUCAUAUUUACACUUUCAGUUCGUCAUUCUGUUUUCUCAUAAUUUAUUUAUCUUAUAAUUUAUUUAACAAAUUGAAAAUGGGAAUAACAUCGUACCUUAUAUAUGAUCGAUUGUGUAACUGCUUUUUUUAAACAUACCUCAAAUGGAUAUUUUCCCCAUUUAAUUGGUUGUUAAUGUAGAUGAGAGCUGCUUAACGAAUGGAUUUUUGGACAAGGUCAUAGAUUGGAUUCCAGGAAUGGAAGGUAUACGUUUAAGGAAUCUCCCAUCCUUCUUUCAAACCACAAAUCCGGACGAUGUCUUGUUUAAAUUGAGCAUGGUGGUAACAGAUGAAGUUCAUAAAGCUGCAGCACUUGUUCUUCUGACAUUUGAUGCUUUGGAAAAAGAUGUUCUGAGUGCACUCUCAUCUGUGCCUAAUAUUCCACCUGUUUAUACCAUUGGCCCUAUCGAAUUACUUCUCAAUCAGAUACCAAAAGACCCUUUGAAGAACUCUGUUGGGUACAGUCUAUGGAAAGAAGAAACUGAAUGCCUCCAAUGGCUGAACUCCAAGGCACCAAACUCAGUUGUUUAUGUGAACUUUGGAAGCAUAACGGUCAUGACACCAAAUCAACUUGUUGAGUUUGGUUGGGGACUCGCAAAUAGCAAGCUUCCUUUCUUCUGGGUAAUUAGGCCAGAUUUGGUUGUCGGUGAAUCAGCAAUUUUGCCACCAGAAUUUGUAGCUGAAACAAAAGAAAGAGGUCUAGUAGCAAGUUGGUGCCCACAAGAGCAAGUCCUUAACCACGCAUCAGUCGGAGGGUUUUUGACGCACAGCGGCUGGAAUUCAACCCUUGAGAGUCUAACUGCAGGUGUGCCUAUGCUUUGCUGGCCAUUUUUUGCUGACCAACAAACUGACUGUUACUAUACGUGCAAUGAAUGGGGCAUUGGCAUGGAGAUUGAUAAUGAUGUCAAGAGAGAUGAAGUAGAGAAGCUUAUUAAAGAGUUAAUGGAGGGAGAGAAGGGUCAGAAAAUGAAAAAUAAGGCCAUGGAGUGGAAGAAACUAGCAGAAGAGGCAACUGGUCCUCAUGGUUCCUCAUCCACAGGCUUUGACAAUCUAGUUAAUCAAGUUCUGUUAAGGAAAAGUUAGCCGUCAUCCAUAUAAGACCACCUAAUUGGCGAGGCAAUAGCUUACCAAGGUGAUAGAAACAUGUACUCUCUUAUGACAUUACCAAGGCAAUAGCACAAGUUUAUUUUUGUGUCGGAACAAAUGAUAGUUACAAAUUAAAUUAAAAGUGAUGUUAAAGAUAAUCGCUUACGUGAGCAGUUGCAUCACAUCUUUUAAACAUUUAGUAAUUGGUACAUACUGAUAUGAGAUGCGCAGUCGUCUAUUCACCCUUUAAAUAUUUGGUUGUAUGGUUGGCAAUGCGGUUAAACAUUAUGGCCAAAAAAUAAUGAUAUACGGUUGCUGAUUAAUUCUCUUUUGUCCGCUUAUAUUUUUUUAUAUUUUUUAAAUAUUUUUUUAUGAUAACAUACAAUUUCUAAUUAGGGAGUAUAAAUUAACAAAAUAGGAGUAGGAAUAUAUAAUUUUCAACAAAAUGAGUGUAAGUGAAUAAAAAAUGAGUGGAAAAAUUGUAGAACAUCAUCUAACAUGUUGGUAUAAAUAGAAGAUUCCCUUUUAUACUUGGGAUGAAGAUAAGAUCCUAUUUAAAGAGAAAUAAUGUUACAAGGGACCUCUUUUUUUUCUUUUUGUUUUUUCAGCACGCGAUGUGAAUCUAAUAAAAAAAAAUCACAAAGAAGAGAAGAGCAUGAGUAAAUGUUCUAAAUCAUCUGAGAUAGAACAACUCCUGUUUUUUACUAAUUCAUUUUAAACACUGAGCAUGAUAUUUGUAAUUCAACUUAGCCCACUAAAUAACGCCCUCUAAAAAUAAAAAUAAAAAGUUGUUUGACUGGUAAGAUUUUUCUUCUUCCUUUUUUUCUUUUUUAAUUUUAACAUUUUCUUAUCUGAAUAUGCAAGACUAGUAAUUUUAAGAUUUUUCACCUUUGAGUGGCGUGCAAGACUAGUAAUCGAUACUUGUUGUCAGUACUUUAUAAUUUCCGACGAAAAAAAAAAUGUAUUCAAGAGAGACUACAUAAGCAACAAACACAUACACAUACAUAACAUUAUGGCCAAAAAAUAAUGAUAUAUGGGUGCCGAUUAAUUCUCUUUUGUCUAUUUAUAUUCUUUUAUAAUUUUUAAAUAUUUUUUAUGAUAACAUACAAUUUUCAAUAAGGAAGUGUAAAUGAACAAAGGAGGAGUAGGAAUAUACAAUUUCCAUUGAAAUGAGUGUAAGUGAAUGAAAAAAUGAAUGAAAAAAUUGUGGAACAUCAUUUAACAUGUUGAUAUAAAUAGAAGAUUCCCUUUUAUAAAUAAUAUCUUAGAUUGUGCUAGACAACAAGGAACGCAAAUAGAGUCAUCAUACUCGGGAUGAAGAUAAGAUCCUAUUUAAAGAGAAAUAAUGUUAAAAGGGACUACUUUUUUUUUUUUCAUUUUGUUUUUUAAGCACGCGAAGUGAAAUUUAAUAAAAAAAAAAAAAUCACAAGGAAGAGAAGAGCAUGAAUAAAUAUUCUAAAUCAUCUGAGUUAGAACGACUCCUAUUUUUACUAAUUCAUUGUAAACACUGGGCAAGAUAUUUGUAAUUCAACUUAGCCCACUAAAUAACAUCCAAAAAAAAAAAGAAAAAAAAAGAGAGGUCUCUCAAAACACUAGUUUGCAAAUCAAGACAUUUUUUCAUUGAAAAUAUAUUUUUAUGCUCUCAUAUUAACAAAAUCAUCAUCUACCACCACAAAUCUACCCUCUAUUUUUCUACCUUCGAUGCAUCCAUCGGUCUACACACUCCAUUUAGUUGUUUGACUGGUAAGAUUUGUCUUCUUCCUUUUUUUCUUUUUUAAUUUUAACAUUUUCUUAUCUUGGCGGUACUUGUUGUCUGUACUUUAUAAUUUGACAACCCAUACCUGAAUAUGCGUACUCCGCAGGUCCAAAGGGAAAAGUCAAGCAAAUAAUAAAAAUAAUAAUGCAACAUGUAUUCAAUUUGAUCUUUGGCCACUCCACCACUUCAAGAGAGACUACAUAAGCAACAAACGCAUACACAUACAUAAUCUGCAUUUGCUCUUAAUUAGUGCAAAACACAAACACAAACAUAUAAUCUAAGCCAGAUGGGUUCCAAGGCAGCAGCUAAUAGACCUCAUGUUGUUUGUGUUCCAGCUCCAGCUCAAAGUCAUAUCAAGGCAAACCUCAAAUUUGCAAAGCUCCUCCACCAUAGAGGUGUUCAUGUAACCUUUGUCAACACAGAGUUCAACCACAACCGCUUUCUUAAAUCUCUUGGACCCAACUCCCUUGACGGGUUGCCCGAUUUUCGAUUCGAAACUAUUCCUGAUGGCCUUCCAGCUGGUUCAGAUCAAGAUGCAACCCAAGAUGUCUCUUUGGUUUCGGAUUCCAUCAACAACAAACUCUUGGCCCCUUUUCGAGACCUCCUUAUGAAACUCAAUGACAGAUCAACUUCCGACAGUGAUAUCAAUCCUCCAGUGACUUGCAUUGUUUCAGAUGGUUUCAUGCCAUUCACAACCACAGCUGCAGAAGAAAUUGGAGUUCCUAUAGUGCUUUUGUUUACUAUUGCUGCAUGCAGCUUCAUGGGCUAUAAGCAAUACCCUGCUUUGGUGGAAAAAGGUCUUGCGCCACUCAAAGGUGAAAUAAAUGUUUUUUAAGGAAUUAAUUGUAUGAUAUUAUUGAUUAACAAAUGAAGCUUUUCUCUAAUUAAAUCUUACUUUGGGUGUUAAUUAUGUAGAUGAGAGCUGUUUGACAAAUGGCUUCUUGGACAAGGUAAUAGAUUGGAUUCCAGGAAUGAAAGGUAUUCGUUUGAGGGAUCUACCGGCGAAUUUUCGAACUACAGAUCCCAAUGACUUCGUGUUUAACUUGUCCUUGGAAUCGAUUGAAAGAGUUCAUAAAGCUUCAGCAGUUGUGCUUCAUACUUUCGAUGCAUUGGAGCCAGAUGUUUUGAAUGCUUUGUCAUCUAUGUUUCCACUUGUUUAUGCCAUUGGGCCUGACCAAUUACUUCUCAAUCAAUUACCAGAAGACCCUUUGAAGCAUAUUGGAUACAAUUUAUGGAAAGAAGAAACUGAAUGCCUUGAAUGGCUAAAAUCCAAGGCACCAAAUUCAGUUGUGUAUGUGAAUUUUGGCAGCAUAGCAGUCCUGACACCACAACAACUUGUUGAGUUUGGAUGGGGACUUGCAAAUAGUAAGCUUCCUUUCUUUUGGGUGAUUAGGCCUGAUUUGGUUGUUGGUGAAUCAGCAAUUUUGCCACCUGAGUUUGUAGCUGAAACAAAGGAAAGAGGUCUAAUAGCAAGUUGGUGCCCACAAGAGCAAGUCCUUAACGACCCAUCAGUCGGAGGGUUUUUGACACACGGCGGUUGGAAUUCAACCAUUGAGAGUUUGUGUGCAGGAGUGCCUAUGCUUUGUUGGCCCUUCUUUGCAGACCAACAAACAAACUGUUACUAUGCUUGCAAUGAAUGGGGAAUUGGCUUGGAGAUCAACAAUGAUGUCAAGAGAGACCAAAUAGAGAAGCUUGUUAAAGAGUUAAUGGAAGGAGAGAAGGGUAAGAAAAUGAAAAAUAAGGUCAUGGAGUGGAAGAAACUAGCAGAAGAAGCCACCAGUCCACAUGGUUCUUCAUCCACAAACUUAGACAAUUUAGUGAAUCAAGUGAUCUUAAGAAAAACCUAGAUUAUUUUCAUUGAAGUUUUAACCCUGCGUACCAUUAGCCCUCUCUUCUCUCUCUAGUCUGAAGAGAGAAAAACCAUAGGAAUGUACAGCAGCCGCCGGCCCCUUUGGGGGUCGGUGGCUGGCUCCCCCUCCUCCCUCGAUCCCUUCUCCUCUCCUAUCGUCCCCUCAUCCCCUCCCCUACUCCUUUCCCAGCUCUUCCCCUUUCCUCUCCUCUUUUCUUCUCCCCAUCUUUCUCCCCUCUCCUCCCUUCCUUAUACCCGCCCCCUCUGCUUCUCACCCGCCCUUCCUCCUUGUCCCUCCUUUCCUUUUGCUCCUUCCCUCCCUCGCAGUUUUAGGCUGGGAUUGUGUGACUGGCUCUUUUGGUUUUUCGGUUUUAUCCGGAGUUGUCAAUUUUCGAGUUGCUUUGGGACCACUUUGCUGCCUCCGUUGGUUGCUUUGCAGAUCUUUUGUCGACUUUGAUUGCUGCUUUUGAUUUCGUGUUUUUUGUUUGCAGUUUCGGUGUUGAUUUUAGUGCUUGUUGCCGUGUCUAUUUGUAUUUUAUUUUAUUUAUCAGAGUUAAAAGUUGUAAGGGGUUGUAAUUGCACUUGUUGUUUGGGCGUCUAGGUCGUUUGGCUGUAGGGCGGGUUGUGUUCUAUGCCUGAUUUAUCUAGGCUCUCGGUUUCUUUACCGUAUUUUCUGUGGCCAUGUGAGUUUAUGAGGGGAGACACACGGUUGAUGUCGGUGUAUUUUCCCCCUAUCUGGAUUAACUUUUGGAGAGUAACUCUGCUUCCACAUUUGUAUUAACCUUAUAUGGGUAUAUGUCUUUGCACUGGCCUUUACAACUUACAAUCUUUGUGCUUGAUUUAUAAAUACAAUGUAUCGCUUCCUCUCAGAAAGGAAAACCUAGAUUUUGUUAUUCUGUAUACAGUUUCCCUUGUUGGUUCUUUAGCAAGAUCAAAUCUCGUAUAUGUAUCGUGGUUGGAAGAUUUAAUACAUCUAAGUUUAAAUAAUACUUGGAUCUAAUAGACCUCGUCUGAAAGUUAGUCUAUCAAUACGUGCCAAAAAAAAAACCAUUUAAAAAUGCAUGGCACAUGUUCGUGAUAACAAAGUUCAAUGAAGACGUAGGAAGAAACUUUGAGAAGAAGCUUGCAAUUUCUUUUAUUAAUUUUCUCUCCUUUUUCAAUCUGCUUUACAAUGAACAGUAUCUAAUAUUUAUAUGACAGAAGCACUUAGCUUCUCAGCUACGACUUAACAAACACGUGAACCCACGUGAACUUCUAACUAACUAAACAAUUCAGCAUGCCAUGUCAGCAUUAUAUACAUGUCUUUUGCCAAUCAUCCCCCCUCAAUCGCAGUGGUGGCUGGACCAACACUAAGAUUGUGACAGUGUUUCAAAAAUAAUGGACUAUGCAGGCCCUUUGUGCAAAUGUCGGCAACUUGGUCUUCAGUAUUGACAUAUCGAACCACCAAAUCAUGACGCUGAACCCGUUCUCUGAUAAAGUGAAAAUCAAGUUCUAAAUGCUUUAUGCGAGAGUGCAAAACUGGAUUACUACUUAAGGCCAAUGCUGAUAAAUUGUCACUAUGUAAGAUUGGAGCUUCAGGAACAACAAUAUGUAAGUCUUGAAGAACAUAUCUGAUCCAAGAGAUAUCCACAGUUGGCAAGAGCUCGAUACUCUGCCUCUGUAGAACUACGAGAGACAGAAGAUUGCUUACGAGAAGACCAAGAGAUAGGAUUCUGUCCAAGAAAUACAACAUACCCUGUAGUAGAGCGACGAGUAUUAGGAUCCCCAGCCCAAUCUGCGUCACUAUAGCCAACCAAAACAGAAGAACCAGAUGUAAAUGUCAAACCAUAAGAUAAAGUGCCUUGCACAUAUCUCAGUAUACGCUUAACUAAAGUCAUAUGAAUAUCAGUAGAAGCAGUCAUAAACUGGCAUACGGUGUUCACAGCAUAUGCCAGAUCUGGGCGUGUGAAUGUGAGGUAUUGAAGAGCUCCAACCAAGCUGCGAAACAUUGUAGGAUCAGGAAGUAAUGUACCAUCAGUUGUCAGAACAUGACAAUGAGGUUUACAAGGUGUAAUUGAUGGUUUACACGUUUCCAUGCCAGCUCUCUUAAGUAAAUCACCAGCAUAUUUAGCUUGGUUGACAAACAAAUCACCAUUGGACUGAUAAGAAACCUCCAAGCCCAAGAAAUAAGUAAGCUGGCCAAUAUCUUUCAUAUCAAACACUUGUCCCAAAUCAUCAAUCACAGAUUGCACUAGGGUAGAACUUGACCUAGUGAUGAUAAUGUCAUCCACAUACAACAAAAGAAUAACCACAUUAGGACCAUCAUGCUUCACAAAGAGACUAGGAUCGGAGUGUGAAGAAACAAAGCCGAAAGCUGGAAGAUAUCCAGUGAACUUGGCAUUCCAAGCACGUGGUGCCUGUUUAAGACCGUAAAGAGACUUUCGUAGCCGACAUACAUAAUCUGGAUAAUGAUGAUCAAUGAAUCCCAAAGGCUGUUUCAUGUACACUUCCUCCUGUAGGUCACCAUGAAGAAAUGCGUUUUUAACGUCCAAUUGGCGCAAACACCAUUUAUGAGUUGCAGCCAAACUUAAAAUCAAUCGAACUGUGGUAUGACGAACUACAGGACUAAAGGUUUCGUCAAAAUCUAUACCUUGUUCUUGACUAAAACCUUGUGCAACUAAACGAGCUUUAUAUCGAGCAAUACGUCCAUCAGCAUGUCUUUUAAUUUUGUAAAUCCAACGACAACCAACAAUAUUCUUAUCAGAGGGUGGAGGAACUAAAUCCCAUGUACCUUGAAUUUCCUCUGUCAUAGCCUGCUGCCACUCAGACUUUGUACUAGCUUCGCGAAAAGUAUGAGGCUCAUCAAGAGCAGUAAUUGUAGAUAAACAAGUGGAAAAACAUUGAAAAUCACCAAAAUCUUUCUUCUUCUUAAUACCACUUUUAAGACGAGUUUGCAUAGAAUGACCAUGCUGUGGAAUGGUAAUAUGAGAAGAAGAACUAGAGGCACUGUGACAGAGAGAGGAAGCAAAACCUGUAAUUGAGCAGGAUCCAAAAUAGGUUGCAUAGUCUGAGCAGAACCUAAGACCUCUUGAGCCUCAGAUGUAGAUACUGAAGAAGAUGAAUUCUCAUUUGAACAUGGGAGAGGAGAGUGAUCAGACUCUGUGGGAGUAACAUAUCUAUAAGGCAAUGAAACUGCUAUAGCUGAAGGAGACAAGUGUGUCAUGACAGAAGAAAAUUGGGUUGAGGAUACUGAAUAAUUCUUCAUUGGAAACUGAGUUUCAUCAUAAAUCACAUGUCUUGAAAUAACCACUUUAUGAGUGUCAGGAUGAAAACAAAUAACACCCUUAUAACCAAGAGAGUAUCCAAGGAACACAUGCUCUGCUGAUCAUGGCUCUAACUUGUGAGAAUUAUAGGGUCGAAGAAGUGGAUAUACUGCAGAUCCAAAAACUUUUAAUGAUUGAAGCUCAGGAUUAUGACCAAACAAUUUGAAGUAUGGAGAUGUCAUUUGAAGAAGCUGACAAGGCAUACGAUUUAUGAGAAAGGCAGCAUGAGCUGCAGCAUAGUACCAAAACUUGUCAUUCAAGGCAGCAGUAGCAAGUAAUGUAAUUGUGGUUUCAAUAAUAUGCCUAUUCUUCCUCUCAGCAAUCCCAUUUUGAUUAGGGGUAUAAGGACAUGAAAUCUGAUGGAGAAUUCCCUUAGAAGCCAAGAAAUCUUUAAAGGCUUUACUAUUAUACUCCCCACCACCAUCAGAUUGAAAAUAUUGCGCAGAAGCUUGAAAGUGCUUAGUAAUAUACGCAUGAAAUUUCACAAAUGUAGGAAAAACCUCAGAUUUCUUGAUUAAUGGAAAAAUCCAGAGGAAUAGAGUACAGUCAUCGAUGAUUGACACAUAAUAUCUAUAUCCACCAAAUGCUACAGAGGAGGAAGGACCCCAUACAUCAGAGUGUAAUCGCUGAAAAGGUAAUGAAGAAUGAGACUGGGAACUAGCAAAAGGAAGUCGGUGCAUUUUACCACUCAAACAAAAACUACAUACACUCUGAGAGGAAUCUGAAACACUAGAAAUUUGAGACUGUUUCAACAUCUGAGUAAGAACUUCGUUGGACACAUGACCAAAUCUUUGAUGCCAAAGAACUGAAGAUACUGGUUUCCCAAGUAAAGCUGUUGGAGUAGAGGCAAUCCCUUCAACUACAAUUGGUGAAGACUUGGUGUUAGACCUUAUUGACAAAUCACCCAGAGCUUGAGGAAUUGGAUACAGACCCUUGUUACUGCGACCCUUGUAUAGCAGAACCUUCGUUGCUUUGUCCUGCACAUAGAUAUAUGAGUCAUCAAAAAUCACCCAGCAUUUAUUAUCUUUACACAACUGGUAAAUGGAUAACAAGCUGGCAGCCAACUGAGGCACAUGAUAAACUUGAUUAAGGCGAAGAGAACCAGAAAUACUAGGAAUGGAAGCACUGCCAACAUGAGCAAUGCACAGACCUUCGCCAUUCCCAACAGUUAUUUUCUCAUCAGCGGUAUAAGGAGCAACUUGAGCCAACCGAGUCACAUUAUUGGUCAUAUGAUGAGAUGCACCACUGUCGGCGAUCCAAAACUUAUCAGCAGAAAAUGAAGGAGAGGUUUGAGCUGUCAUUGCAUGGAGCUGAGCAGGAGGUGCAGUGCCUUGAUAGGAAAAGUUAGCUCUAUGGUAGCAGUUCAAGGCUAUGUGACCUUUCUUUCCACAAAUCUGGCAUUCCACAACAGGAUUAGGCACAGAAGAAUUGUCAGGAACUCGAUAGAAGCAGUUUGGAGCAGUAUGGCCUCGUUUGUUGCAAAUUUGGCACUCAGGAAUUACUUGAGACCUUUGAACAGAGGAACCAAAAGAAGGACGAGACUGAAAAUUCCCUCUUGGAUUUGAAUACUGUGGUGAUGAAUUGUAAUUGCCUCUGCCUCUGACAGACCCUGAAGAAAAUCCUUGAGAGGGUUGUGGAUAUCGGGAAUAAGAGGUCGAUUGAAAACCAGAAUUCCCUGACUGUUUCACACCAGUAAAACCAUGAGAAGAUGUAGGCUGUGCAUGAAUAAUACCAACAGUCGAUGCUGAGAGAGAAGAAGACUGUGAGCUAGAGCCUUGAGUGGAAGAAACAGAACUCAUGAGACCAGACAUUUGAUGAGACAAUGCCAUCACCCGUGACUCUAUGGUACGCUCAGCAGAAAGCAAUUGUGCUCGGAAUUCCUUCAUAGUGAUGGGAGUCUCACGAGCAAAGAUAACAGUCCUGAUUAUAUCAAACUCAGCAGGAAGACCAUUAAGAGCCGCAAUAAUAAUAUCGUCAUGGGUCAGCUUGACACCAGCAGCUGUCAGUUGAUCUCUAAGAUGUUUAAGUCUGAGUAAGAAUCGUUCAAUAGAAUCUGCACCUUUACUAAUUAUGUGAAGCUCAGUUUUCAACUGUGUGACUCGAGACCUUGAUACAGAUGCAUAACGGUCUGUGAGAUUAAGCCAUGCUUCUCUAGCUGUCUUACAACCAACAACAUAUUCAAUCGCAUCAUCUGAAAGAGUUGCAAUCAAUAAACUCAAUAGAGCUUUGUCAAUUUGUAUCCACUGCUUGUGUGCUUCAGUAAGUUCACCAGUAACUCCCUCACUCUCUGUGACAACAUACUUAGGUGGACAACUACUAGAGCCAUCAAAGUGACCAUAGAAAUCGUAACCUUGUAGCACUGAUUGGAACUGAUAGUGCCACUUAACAAAGUUAUCCUCAGACAAACGAAUGGUAAGAAUUCCUAGAAGUCCUUCGAUUUUAGGCAUCACAAACGUCAUUGUUGCAAAAUAACAGAAUUGAUGCAGGCUUCGUGCCAAAAUAGAAAAUUGAAAUUAGAUGCAAGAACAGAGAUGCUUCGUGCUUCAAUUGUAAAACAAGACCUCAGAGGCUUCGUGCCUAAAUCACUUGCAAGAACAGAGAUGCUUCGUGCUUCAAUUGUAAACUAAGAACUCAGAGGCUUCAUGCCUAAAUCGCAAAUUUCACAAUUCCGAACAAGGAUAGAAUCAUACCAGAUCGCUGAAUUAGUGCGAGAAAAGAUAAAUUCCACUCGAGAAGAUGAAAGAGCAGAAUACCUCCAUAAUCGCAAUGAAAAAGUUGAGAAAAAUGAUCGCCAUUUGCAUCCACAGUGAAUACAGAACAAGCUCCAUCAAGAAGUGUAGAGAGAAGAAAAUUCUGAUGAACAGUGAUCACGCGGAAGCUAUUGGAUCAGGAGCCGAAGCUCUGAUACCAUGAUAACAAAGUUCAAUGAAGACGUAGGAAGAAACUUUGAGAAGAAGCUUGCAAUUUCUUUUAUUAAUUUUCUCUCCUUUUUCAAUCUGCUUUACAAUGAACAGUAUCUAAUAUUUAUAUGACAGAAGCACUUAGCUUCUCAGCUACGACUUAACAAACACGUGAACCCACGUGAACUUCUAACUAACUAAACAAUUCAGCAUGCCAUGUCAGCAUUAUAUACAUGUCUUUUGCCAAUCAGUUCGUACUUACUUUUUAUGUUAUCUCCAUCAAUGCGAUUCCACAUACUCAAAACAAAAACCAUAGAAAAAGAAAAGGCAUGCCAACCUCAAGCUGUAUUAUAAUUCCAGAAAAUGAGGAAGAAGAUUUCACUUGGACAUUUGUUCCAAAAACCAACAAUAUAUAGGCACCAAGUAACAUCUGCAUAUUAACUCACAAGAUCAGAGAUAGGCAUGGUUUCUAUAGAGGUAGUCAGAAGCCUCAUGCUUUAUGUAUCCCAUUCCCAUAUCAAGGCCACAUAAGGCCAUUCCUCAAGUUUGCAAAGCUCCUACACCACAGAGGUUUCCGAGUCACCUUUGUCAAUACCAAAUACAACCACAGACGCUUUCUUAAAUCUCUAGGCGACGACACCCUUGACGGCUUGACAGACUCUCAUUUUGAAACCAUCCCAGAUGGUCUUCCUCCCUCAGAUUCAGAUUCAACCCAAGACAUCUAUGCUAUUUGUGACUCGCAAAGCUCAAUGAUGCUGCAACUUCCAACAAUACCCCUCCUGUGACCAGCAUUGUCUCAGAUGGUUUCAUGAGCUUCUCAAUCACAGCUGCUGAAGAACUUGGACUUCCUUUUGUGUUGUUCUUUCCUACUGCUUCUUGUGGCUUCAUGGGCUUCAAGUGUUACCGCGCUCUUGUGGAAAAAGGAUGUACACCACAAAAAGGUAAAGGGAGGAGCCAGAAAUAGUCAAACAAUAUGUGUAUAAUAUUUUUCAGAUGUAUUUCAAUCUCCGAAAUGAGGUAUUUAUAAUACAAGGUUACAAACCUUAGUAGGGUUAUACUAGGAAAUAAGAAAAGUCCUAAUUAUAUAAUAUCCAUACAAAAGGAAAUAAAUAAAAUCAUAUUAGAAUAAGAAGGAAAUAUCCUAAUAAGGCUAGGAUAUCUCGCCAACACUCCUUCUCAAGUUGGAGCAAAGACGUCAUGCAUGCCCAACUUGUCAAGCGAGUUGAGGAAGAUACUUGUAGAAACAGCUUUCGUAGGGACAUCGGCUAACUGAUACUCAGAAGUGAUGAAUGAGAAGGAAACAAUCUCCGCAUCCAACUUCUCUUUAAUGAAAUUUCGAUCAAUCUCCACAUGCUUUGUACGAUCAUGUUGUACGGGAUUAUGAGCAAUUGCAAUCGCAAUCUUAUUGUUACAAUAUAAAUUCAUAGGUUUCUUAGGUCCAAAGCCAAGAUCUCUCAAUAAUCUCCUCAACCAUAGUAACUCACAUACGCCAUGGGUCAUCCCACGAUACUCAGCCUCAACACUAGAACGAGACACCACCUUUUGUUUCUUGCUUCUCCAAGUAACAAGAUUACCACCAACAAACGUAAAAUACCCAGACGUAGAAUGCCUAUCAGUAGCUGAACCUGCCCAAUCAGCAUAUGUGCAUCCUUUCACAUAUGUAUGACCAUACUUGGAAAACGUUAAUCCCUUGCCAGGAGUUACUUUUAGAUAUCUCAAAAUAUGCGUCACACCUCCCAUAUGGUCUUCACUAGACGAGUGCAUAAACUGACUCACUAUACUCAUCGCAUAAGCAAUGUUAUGACGUGUAUGAGCUAAAUAAAUUAAUUUUCCCAUGAGCCGUUGAUAGCGCUCCUUAUCAGUAGGAACUUGAUCAGGAUAUAACCUCAACUUGUGAUUCUGUUCACUAGGAAUAUCAAUUGGUUUACAAUCCAAAAUUCCAGUUUCUGCAAAUAAAUCCAAAACAUAAUUCCUUUGGGACAAGAAAAUACCAUGCUUAGAUCUGGCAACUUCAAAUCCUGAGAAAGUACUUCAAGUCACCUAAUGAUUUCAUCUCAAACUCAGACGCCAGAUAUUUCUAGAGACUCUAUAUUUCUGCCUGAUCAUCUCCAAUUACAAUCAUAUCAGCAACAUAAAUUAUUAAAGCUGUCAAUUUACCUUUGCGAUGCUUCAGAAACAAAGUAUGAUCUGAAUUACUUUGUACAUACCCAGACUUCUUCAUAGAUGCAGCAAACCUCCCAAACCAAGCUCUUAGAGACUGCUUUAAUCCAUAUAAGGAUUUCUGUAGUUUGCACACCAUACCCUCCUUAGAGGUCACAGGGAUACCUGACGGAGGAUCCAUGUAUAUUUAUUCUUUGAGGUCACCAUGGAGGAAUGCAUUUUUGACAUCGAAUUGUAACAGAGGCCAAUCAUGAUUGGUAGCCAAGGACAAGAGUACGCUCACAGUAUUGAGCUUUGCUACUGGAGCAAAGGUCUCCAUGUAAUCCACUCCAUAAGUCUGAGUAUAACCUUUUGCUACCAACCUUACCUUGUAACGGUCAAUGGAAUCAUCAGCCUUGUGCUUCAAAGUAAACACUCAUCUGCACCCAACUACCUUUUUCCUUUUUGGUAAAGGAACGAGCUCCCAAGUGUCAUUCUUGUUCAAGGCUUCCAUCUCAACAUGCAUUGCAUCUACCCAUUUUGGAUUAGAUAGAGCAUCAUGCAACUUAAUUGGCAUACAUACACUAGAUAAUUGACACAAAUAUGAUGCAUAUGACUUAGAUAGACGAUGAGUUGUCACAUAAUGAUUAAUAGGAUAUUUAGAUUUGGCAUGUAUAUCAGAAGAAUAUGUACUUUAGGUUUAUCACAAGUAGUGUGUGGGGGUAAUGAAUAAGUAGACACAUCCUUAGAAAGUAUCUCAUCAUUAUCAUGAGUUGAUUGGGGCAAUGGUAGAGCAGGGGGGUCUUAUAUCGAUCUCAUCUUCACAAGAGUCACCAAUAUUACUGUCACGUUCUUCUAGCGAAGAGCAAAUUUCAUCAAAGAAUUCAACAGGCGACCGGUCAUCACCUUAUGAGCGAUUGGUCGGUUCCAGGCAGAUUUUUAGGAGACCAGACGCUUCUUCUGGGCCACCGGUCCUUUCCUGGCAGUCAUCAGUCAUUGAGGCAUGCAACCGGUCAUCACCAUCUGCACGACCGGUCGAUUCCAGGUAGAUUACUUGGCAACCUGUCGCUUCCCCUACACGACCGGUCGUUGGCACUUUGUCCUAAAUUCCUUCACAUACCUCUUUACGUCCAAGAUUUUCCGUUUCGAAACUCUUCAAUUCACUCCCCCUCUCCUCCUGAAUUGAAAAGGAGGAAGAGACACAAUACUGUACUUCUUCAUGAAAGGUGACAUCCAAAGUAACAUGUACCUUCUAUGAAGGAUGGUGUAGCACUUGUAACCCUUCUGAGUGGUAGAAUAGCCAAUGAAGACACAACAAAGCACACACGAGUCAAGUUUACUCCAUUGAUGGAAGUAGACAUGAACGUAAGCAACACACCCAAACACCUUCGGAGGUAACUUAGAGACCAAGACCGGAGAAGUAUGGGAACAUAACACAUCAAGCGGAAUAUUGAAAUCAAGCACCCGACUAGGAGUACAGUUAAUCAAAUAAGCAGCGGCCAAGACACCAUAUCCCUAAAGAUGAUGGGGAACAGACAUAUCCAACAUAAGGGAGCAAGCAACUUCAAGUAACUGACGAUUCUUACGUUCAGAUACAUCAUUCUGUUGAGGAGUGAAUGAAGUGGUAGUUUGGUGGAUGAUACCUUAAUCAUGGAAGAAAUGGGUCAAUGUAUGAUUCACAUAUUCACCUCCGUUAUCAGUCUGAAAUACUUUAACACGGGCAUGAAACUGAGUAGACACCAUAGCACAAAAAACAGAAAGAAUAAAGGCAACAUCAUGUUUAUGCUUCAUCAAAUAUACCCAUGUUAAGCUAGUGCAGUCAUCAAUAAACGUGACAACCCAACGAAAACCAUUAGAAGUCAUACGGGCAAAACCCCAUACAUCUGAAUGUAGUAACUCAAAAGGCAAUGCAGCUUUAUUAUUACUCAAGGGAAAAACAGUACGGUGGUCAUUACACAAGUUUUGCAUUUGAAGCUAGACUCAUCACACGAACUAAAUAAUGAAGGAAACAAUGUUUAAGAUAACCAAAGGACGAAUGUACUAAACGACAAUGCCACAGCCAAAGGUGUUACUUGUCUUUGACACUGCCAUUCUAGACUUUAUUAGUGACACAACCACGAACUACUGCAACCUCUAACUGUAAGUUAUACAACCCACUUAUCCGUUUACCAUGCCCAAUCUUCUCGUGACUCUUGAGAUCUUGGAAAAAACAAUGGGUAGAAUAGAAAGUAGCAGACGCGUUAAGUGUAUCAAGUAAAUGCCCAACUGAUAACAAAUUACAACAAUAUUUAGAACCAAGGGUGCAUAAGACCGAGGUAAAGAAGGAGUGAGUUGGAUGGUACCUUCAUCGGUAACUGGGGAAGGUAAACCAUUAGCACUAGUAAUAUAGGGGGUCACGAGGGUUAUGGGACAACUCAUCAAACAUAUUAUCUAAGUAUUAGAACUCAUACUUGACAUGGUAUCGGAAACACACAGAUUUGCAGACGGGGCCAGAGGACGGGCCUCAUCUUGAGUCAUAGUACAAGCAGUCUUAAGACCAUACAUAGAAGCCUUGUAGCCAACAAACCAAUCAGGAUAACCAUGCUCCUUAAAACACUUCUCAGAGUAGUGAUUCCCAUGACAAUGACGACACUGAAAAGGACCUUCAAGAGAGCUACGGAUAGAUCCAGAAGGACGAGGCCCAGCAGAAGAAUAAAAUUUUCUAGAUGGGGAGUGACCGGCCGUUUCAUGCUGGGCGACCGGUUGUUGACGGGCUGGGUCGACUUUGAGGGCCAUUGAACCUCCUCCAAGCAUAGCAUACUAACGGGUGUCUUCCUCCAUGACCAUGGCAUAGGCUUCGAGAGGGGGCGGGACAGGACUAAGAGCAAGGAUACGGCUACGGACACCAUCAUAUGGUGGAUCAAGUCCUUUAAGAAAAUCAUAAACUCGAUCAGCUUUAACUUCUUUCAGACGACGAGCCCCAUCAUCAGCACAACUAAACUCAUGUGGAUGCAGACAAUCAAUCUCCUGCCAGAUAGCAUGGAGUUUUUCAUGGAAUACUUUGACAGAUUCACCAUUCUGACAUGUAAGUAUAGACUGCCGUUGGAGUUGAAACAACCGAGAACUAUUUUGAGUCACAGUAUAGGUCUUCUGGGCAGCCUCUCAUAUAUCAAAAGCAGUAUCACCAUGUUCAAACAAGGCACAAACUGGCUUAGUCGUGGAAUUGAGAAGCCAUAAUUGUACCAGACAAUUAUCUUCUUCCCAUUCGACAUAGGCAACGGAACCUUUAGACGGAGCUAGCUUCUUCUCAUUGAUCCAACUUGCCAUACGACGACUAGUAAUUGUAAUACAAGCACCACGAGACCAAGAGGCAUAAUUGGAGCCAUCCAAUUUGUCAGAAGUAAUCGGGGUAGAGUAAUCACGCGAGGGACGUUCCUCCUUUGUUGUAGAUGCAUUAGCACACACCACGACUUUGGAAUCAUCACCCAUGAUAGCAGCGGAAAAAACACAACACGAAGCAGAUACGACAAACAUAGCACAGGCACGGGCACAAGAACCCUAAAAAGAAUUAGGGCACACAGUAGAACACGAGUGGGGCACAAUAUACACAGGUCACCAGAAACUCGGUUCUGAUACCAAGUCAAAUAAUAUAGGUAUAAUAUUUUUCAUAUGUAUUUCAUUCUUCGAAAGGAGGUAUUUAAAAUAUAAAGUUACAAACCCUAGUAAGGUUAUACUAGGAAAUAAGAAAAGUCCUAAUUACAUAAUAUCUAUACAAAACGAAUUAAAUAAAAUCCUAUUAGAAUAAGAAGGAAAUAUCCUAAUAGAGCUAGGAUAUCUCGCCAAAACAUAAAUUAAUUAGUAAUGUUUUGUUUUUUAUUAACUAGUAACAUUCUGUUUUUUAGCUUAACUAUAGUAACAUUAAUUUGUUUUCAAUGUUGCAGAUGAGAGUUAUGUAUCAAAUGGUUACUUAGACAUUGUCAUUCAUUGGACACCGUACCGAGAAUGAAAGAUAUCCACCUAAGGGAUCUUCCAAUGUUUCUUCAAACUACAAAUCCAAAAGACAGUGUCUUUAUCUUAACAAGGGAAGCAACUGAAAGAGCACAUAAAGCCUCUACAGUUGUUAUUCAUACUUUUGAUGCAUUGGAGCAAGAGAUUUUGGAUGCUCUCUCAUCUAUGCUUCCACAUCUUUAUACCAUUGGCCCUUUCCAAUUACUUGUCAAUCAGAUACUAGAAGACCCUUUGAAGCCAAUGGGAUAAAGCCGAUGGAAGAAGAAACUGAGUGCCUUUCCUAGCUCGACUCAAAAGCACCAAACUCAGUGGUUUAUGUGAACUUUGGCAGUGUGGGUGAUCAUGGCACAAAAUUGUUGGUCCCUUUUCCCGCCAACACUCUUUUGUGGUUUGCUCUUGGAUCAAGUUGCUAUGUAGAAUGAGGAGGUCGUUGGAUCAACACCAAUGCCCCGAUUGGAUUUUUGGCUCACAAAGAGGAUUCUUUCAAUUUCUGAACAAAAUGGAAAGUUAGAUCAGGUUGACAAGAACAGGCGAGCUUGGGUUGGGCCCUAUCAACUUGUUCCUUCUGACCUUAUCUUGAAUUGAGUAGGCGUGCCACUAUUAGGUAUGAAACCAACCUAAUAGAUCUAGUAUAGGUGGUGCAAGAUGUUGAUUUGUUAUAUUUGCGCUUAUUCUGGACUUCUACUCAACCCAUUGUGCUCCAAGGAGGAUACUGCCCUGGAUGAGUUCUUUUUUAUGCCUCAAUUAAAAUGACUUCAAUAUUCUUUCAUUUGUGCGUGUCGAUUUGAUAGAUACGAGCAAUACCUAAUCAAACAAGAAGGAAACUAGAAUCGUGGUUAAUGGUGCCUUAUUUGGAUUAACCUUUACUUUUGGACUAAUGGGGCCCUAUUCGAGCCUAGACUUCUGCUUUAGGUCCGAAUAAUAAAUUUAAAUAAUAUAAGGCAGGAAAUUAAACUAGUCUGUAGAGAUAUUUAAAAUAUAUAAAAGCAGUUAAAUAGGAGAUACUUAAUGAAAUAGUCAAGAUAAACUCCAAGAUUUCUUUAUCCGAUUUUAACUUGAUAACAAAGAAGAACAAGAGUUAUAAAUUUAUCCAUUUAACUAAUUCAAAAUAUCGAUUACAAUGUAAGGAAAAUUGGAGAUUUCUCUAUUCAGUUAGAGGGAUACAUGAAUUCAAACUGAUCAUUUAAAAGAAAUCAUACCAUGUAGAUGGCAGAGUAAUAAGAUAUGAAUGCAAGAGUUGUCAACUGGUUGUAAGGGAGUUUUAAAGGUCAAUACACCAGAGGACAUGCGGUUGAUCAGGUGAACUGCGGUGACAAUAGCGUCAUCCCAAUGAUGGCAAAGAACAUGAGAACCAAUCAGAAGUGCUCGGGCAGUUUCAAGAAGAUAUCGAUUCUUUCGUUCAGCAAUACCAUUUUGUUGCGGUGUCCGAAGACAAGUCGUCUCAUGGAUAAUUCCAUGUUAUUGGAAGUAAGCCUGAAAGUCAUGAUUGACAAAUUCUCCACCAUUGUCUGCGCGAAGAAUCUGGAUUUAAGCAUUGAACUGAGUUUUCCUAUAUUUGUGGAAAGACUGAAAAUGGAAAAACACAUUGUUUUUAUUCUUCAGCAAAUAAAGUCAUGGCAUCCGUGUAUAAUCAUCUACGAAUGGGAUAAACCACUGAACACCAGAAGGAGCAGCGAUAGGUGAAGGUCCCCAAACAUCAUAUGAAUUAACGUAAAUGGAGUAGUACACUUGUUUGUUCUCAACGGAUAGGACAAAGUGACUCUUGGCCAAAAUACAAGUUUCAUAUGUGAACCGAGUCCUUGAAACCGAAGAAUAAAUCUGAUAUAAGAUGCUUCAUAUAACUAAAAGACAGAUGUCCCAAUCGACGUUGCCACAACUAGAUUUGCUUUUGUUCGCUAUCAAAGGGAUGCGUCACAAUGUUAGCCAUGUUGGGACUGAAGUCAUUUACAUAAUAUAGCCCCCCUCUCUUAAUACCACGACCAAGAAUCUCCUUAGUGUGACUAUCUUGAAGCAAACAAAAACUCGGGUAAAUGAGUACACAAUAAUUCAAUUGUUCAGUAUGUUGACUAACUAACAACAAUUUAUUGGAUAAAGAUGGAACAAAUAAAGUAUUAGAUAGUAAGAGAGAGGAUGAAAGUACAACUGUGCCAGUCCCUGUCACAGGAUAAGUAACUCCAUUGGCGUUAGCAAUACAAGUUCAUUGAGGUUGGGUAGUAUUCAGAAAAUCAUCAGGAUCAAACCUCAUAUGAUCAGUUAAACCGGAAUCAAUUAUGCAGCUCGUGGAAUCACUUUUAUCUGAAGUAUGGAAUUCAUAACUAGUAUCAUUACGGGUCGUAUCGGGUGGUGUUCGAUCUUUGAGAUUAUCCCACCAUUCGGGGUACCCAUGCAAUUUAAAACAAGUCUCACGAGUAUGCCUUGGAUCACCACACUAUGCGCAAUCUCGUCCAUGAGUCAAGGUCGUUAGUUGGGAAGUCAUAAUAUGUGUAGCGGAAGAUGCAUAGGAUACGAGUUUAGUAGGAAUCCGGAUCGGGAUCUGAGCCUGAGUAGGGGUCAUAGUCGAAGUCGGGAUCUAGGUCUGAAUCAUAGACAAAUUCGAGGUCGGGAUCGUCAUCGUUGUCGUCGUAGUCGGGGUCGGGGUCAUCAAAAUUGGAUCCUGAUUCAGGAUCUGGUUCGAGGUCAUCAAAAUAGGAUCCUGAUUCAGGAUCAUGUUUGGGCUCGAAGUCUGCAUCUAUAGGAGCUAAGCCACGUGGGCACUCAACUCAGCUAUGGUUGGUUGAAAAUGAGAGAAGGAGUCAGUGGUGCUACCUCUAUGAGGGUUGAAAAAAUCAUCAACCCCCAUAGCAGCAGCGGGGGUUGGGAACUAGAGUCAGUGAUUCCAGGAUCGCCGCUCUGAUACUAUGCUAAAAUAUGAGAACUAUGAGAGAAUAUUUGUUUGCGGGAAUUUUAUGUGUAUUCUUCUCCUUCUAAGAUGUCUUAUUUAUAAUAUAACGGAACUUUAAUGGGCAAGUAAAUAAUAAAUUCCUACUUCUAUUUAUAGUAGGAAAUCAGGAAAUAAAGUACAUUAAAUAUAAUUAUAAUGGGAAUCUUUGAUGUGUAAAGAAAAAAUGUCAAUGGUCCACAAGUCAUACCAACAUAUUCCAGCUGGUCUUAAGCCCCUAAUCCUAGAGAUUGCAGCAGCCUCCCAAAGUCAAGCCAACUUCAUUAAUGCAGCCAACAUACAACUAGCUAACAAGCCCACCAAUCCUAUAAAUAAAUAAUCUCUCCAUUUGUACGAGUGACCACAAAAAAGAUCAAAAACAUGACUUCCACGAUAGUACCUCAUAAUAAGCCUCAUGCUGUUUGUGUUCCAGUCCCAGUUCAGAGCCAUAUAAAAGCCAUGCUCAAGUUGGGAAAGCUCCUUCACAACAGAGGCUUCCACAUAACCUUUGUCCACACAGAGUUCAAUCACAAGCGCUUUCUUAAGUCUCAAGGCCCCAACUCUCUUGAUGGCUUGCCUGAUUUUCGGUUUGAAACCAUCCCCGAUGGCCUUCCGGACUCAGAUGAAGAUGCAACGCAAGAUGUCACUUUGCUUGUUGAGGCAGUUGUAAAAGAUGGUUUCUUGGCUCCGUUUCGUAACCUCCUCAUUAAACUCAAGGAUGCAGCAACUUCCAAUAAUAAUCCUCCGGUGCAGUGGCGGAGGUAUAUGAGGGCCUGAAGGGGCCUGGGCCCCUCCAAAAGUUUCAUAAUAUUUAAUUUGUGGUAUUCUGUUCCUACAGAUUUUAGAAAGUAAAUAUGAUAAUUUUGCUUGUGGCCCCCUCAAGAUGUGUUUCUCUUUCCAAUUAAAUAUAUAUAAUAAUAACCACUUGCCACUUGACUGAAGGUUGUGAAUGUUUAUAUCCUCACGCCAGUUUUGGUUUUUUAAAAAGUAGAAUCUCAUGUCCAUCAAUAUAUUAAUAAAAAAAAAUAAAACAGCCAAUCAAAUAAAGUUUCAAAAAAUUUCCUUUAUCAAAUAGGAAAUAGACUUUUACCCAAAUAAAAAAGGAUUGGGAUUUUAAUUUUUGUUCCUAUAUAAAGCAACAUGAACUUAGUUCGAAGCAGCCACACACAACAAAAGAAAAUAAUUGAAUUUGGUUGUUUGCUCUCCAACCUCCUACUUCAGAAUUUCUAAUUCCAGGUUAGAUAACUUUACAUAGUCAUAUAUUUUUUUUCCUUUGUUUAUUUACUUUUUAUGAGAAUAUAUUUGUAUAUGUUCUAUGCAUAGAAUAUGAUUUUAUUUUUUUAGUUUUGUUUGUGGUAUAAUUUAUCAUGUCCUUAAUAAAAUUUGUAAUUGGUUUGUAGAUGAAGAAACAACCUAAAAUUGAUGGAUUUUUCAAAAGAAAACAUAUUGAAGUUACCUCAUGUGUACCUGAUUAUAAUAUUGAGACAAUAGCAUAUGAAAAUCGUUCUGGAUCUCCAAGAAUUGAGACUACUGAUAAUGAAGUUGAUAUUAGUACUUUAGAGCGCGACCCAGGGCUACGUCCGCAAAUAUGGAAUUAUCCUGUUAAUCAACGUGACGAAAUUCGACGAGUUUAUAUUAACGUCGGUCCAUACCAACCUAUACUUUCCAAGUAUCCAAAAUCUGGAUCAGUAACUCAUCAGCGUAGCUUUCAAAGUUCAUGGUUCAAAUUAUUUCCUUCGUGGUUAAAAUAUUCACCUGUGAAAGAUGCAGCUUUUUGUCUACCGUGCUAUCUUUUUAACAAACCAUCUGGACAUUCUGGAAAAAAUGCUUUCACUCUUGAGGGAUUUCAAAGUUGGAAGAAAGUUAGAGAUGGAAAAAAUUGUUCUUUUCUAAAUCACGAGGGGAAAGAUCCUAACUCCCCCCAUAAGAUUGCUGAAAUAUCAUGUUUGGAUUUGAUGAAUCAAUCCCAGCAUAUACAGAAAGUCGUUGAGAAUUAUUCUUCCCAACAAAUUGCAGACAAUCGACUACGACUUAAGGCAACAAUUGAAGCAGUCAGGUGGCUUGCAUUCCAAGGAUGUGCUUUUAGAGGCCAUGAUGAAAAAAAGAAUUCAAUCAAUCGUGGAAAUUUUCUUCAAAUGUUAGAAAUAUUGGCUGCAUAUAAUGAAAAAGUUGCUGGAGUUAUCUUAGAUAAAGCUCCCAAAAAUGCCUCUUACACAUCACCACAGAUCCAAAAAGAAAUUUUACAUGUUUUUUCAACUAAGGUGAAGAAAGCAAUCUGUGAAGAAAUUGGGGAAUCAAAGUUUUGUAUAAUUGUUGAUGAAGCACGUGAUGAAUCCAAGAGAGAGCAAAUGGCUAUAGUGUUGCGAUUUGUUGACAAAGAAGGUCUUAUUCAGGAGCGCUUUUUUGGGCUUGUUCAUGUGUCAGACACUGAGGCAUUAACUCUGAAAAAAGGUAUAUACUCUAUAUUGUCUCAUAAUUCACUAAAUAUUCAAAAUAUUAGAGGACAAGGAUAUGAUGGUGCAAGUAACAUGCGAGAUGAAUGGAAUGGGUUACAAGCUUUGAUUUUGAAUGAUUGCCCAUAUGCUUACUAUGUUCAUUGUUUAGCACAUCGAUUACAAUUGGCAUUAAUUGCAUCAUCAAGAGAAGUUAUUCAUGUUCACCACUUUUUCACUAAAUUGACUUCUAUUGUCAAUAUUGUUGGUGCUUCAUGCAAGCGUAAUGAUGAACUGAAAAAUGCUCAAGCUGCUGAAAUUGAGCACAUGAUUGCAAUUGAUGAGCUCGAGACUGGGAAAGGAAUGAACCAAAUUGGCACCUUACAACGUGCUGGUGAUACUCGUUGGGGUUCUCAUUUGAAAUCAAUUACUAGCUUGGUAAAUAUGUUUAGUGCAACAUGCAUAGUUCUAAUUAAUAUAAUUGAUAACGGAACUACUUAUUCUCAACGAGGAGAUGUUGAUGCAGCUUAUGAGGCAAUGACUUCAUAUGAAUUUAUCUUUAUCUUACAUCUUAUGAAAGAACUUAUGGAGAUCACUAAUGAUCUUUGUCAAGCUUUGCAAUGUCAAUCCCAAGACAUCAUAAAUGUCAUGAAUCUUGUUUCUUCCACUAAAGCACUCAUCCAAGAAUUAAGAGAUGAUGGAUGGGAUUCUUUGCUUACCAAGGUGAAUUCUUUUUGUGAAGCACGGAACAUAGAUAUCCUAGAUAUGAAUGCUCGUUAUGUUGCAAGACGAGGUAGAGCUCGCCAUCAACAAGAUGAUUUUACGAUUAAGCAUUAUUAUAUGAUAGAUAUUUUUUAUGCUACAAUAGAUUCUCAACUUCAAGAAUUAAAUAGCAGAUUUAGUGAUCAAACAACAGAGCUGCUUAUUAUGGGGUCGGCUUUGGAUCCUCGUGAAGUGAAUAAAUCUUUUAGGAUUGAUGAUAUUUGUCAAUUGGUAGAUAAGUUCUAUCCACAAGACUUUGAAGAUCAUGAGAAGAUAGGUUUGAGAAGACAACUUCAACAUUUUGAGAGUGACGUCGUUAGACUUCCAGAGUUCAAAAACUUGUCAACAAUUUCUGAUCUAUCUCAAUGGAUGGUAACGACUAGAAGAUCAACGACAUAUCCACUUGUUUAUAGAGUGGUUGUGCUUGUGCUUACUCUUCCUGUUUCUACAGCAACUGUAGAGCGAUCAUUUUCUGCUAUGCGUAUAGUAAAAACUAGGCUCCAUAACAAGAUGGAAGACGAAUUUCUCACAGACUCUUUGAUUAUGUACAUCGAAAGGGAAAUUGCAGAAAAGUUUAGCGUUGACUCAAUCAUAGAUGGUUUUCGAGAUAUGAAAGAACGACGAGUGUUAUUUUGAUACCUAAUUGAAUAAACAAUUUUUUUUUGCCUUUAAUUUUUCCAAACAUUGUUAAGGUUGAGAAUUUGAAAUUUUUUAAUGUCUUGUUUGGUUUAUAUAUUGGCCCCCCAACACAUAAAUUCCUGGCUCCGCCACUGCUCCGGUGACUUGCAUUGUUUCCAAUGAUUUGAUGUCGCCAUUCGCCAUCAAAGCUGCUGAAGAAUUUGGACUCCCUAUUGCACUCUUCUUCACUAUUGCUGCAUGCAGCUUCAUGAGAUUUAAACAAUUUCGCGCUUUGGUCAAAAAAGGACUUGCACCACUCAAAGGUGAGAUUAAUUCAUAUUUACACUUUCAGUUUGUCAUUCUGUUCUCAUAAUUUAUUUAUUUUACGAUUUCAAAACACUCACAAAAACAAGUGCAGAAUGACAAAAUGAAAAUGAGAAUAGCAUCGUACCUUAUAUAUGAUCCAUCGAUUAUGUAACUGCUUCUUUUUUUUUAAGCUAAUUAUUAAUUGGUUGUUAAUGUAGAUGAGAGCUGCUUAACGAAUGGAUUUUUAGACAAGGUCAUAGAUUGGAUUCCAGGAACGGAAGGUAUACGUUUAAGGAAUCUCCCAUUCUUCUUUCGAACCACAAAUCCGGACGAUGUCUUGCUUAACUUGAGCAUGGUGGUAACAGAUGAAAUUCAUAAAGCUGCAGCACUUGUUCUUCUGACAUUUGAUGCUUUGGAAAAAUAUGUUCUGAGUGCACUCUCAUCUAUGCUUAAUAUUCCACCCGUUUAUACCAAAAGACCCGUUGAAGAACUCAUGUUGGGUACAGUCUAUGGAAAGAAGAAACUGAAUGCCUCCAAUGGCUGAACUCAUGUUGUUUAUUUUAAAUCUCUAAUAAAAAUCACAAUACGUUUAGUGUCGGAACAAAUGAUAGUUACAAAUUAAAUUAAAAGUGAUGCUAAAGACAAUCGCUUACGUAAGCAGUUGCAUCACAUCUUUUAAACUAAUAUAUAACUUUUUAACAUUUAGUAAUUGGUACAUACUGAUAUGAGAUGUGCAGUCGUCUAUUCACCCGUUAAAUUUUUGGCUGGCAGUGCGGUUAAACAUUAUGGCCAAAACAGAAUGAUAUGGGUGCUGAUUUUUUCAAUUUCCUUUUGUCCACUUCCAUUCAUUUAUAUUUUUAAUAUUUUUUUUAUGAUAACAUACAAUUUUCAAUAAGUGAGUAUAAAUGAACAAAAAAAAAAGUAAGAAUAUGUUGUAAAUGCAUGAGUUGGUGGAUGACCACCAUACCUCUUAAUAUUCCACCGUUGGAUUUUAUGUAACCUAUGUACUAAGUAUUUGUAAUUAGUACUUGUAACCUAUAGGUAUAUUGUAAAUGAUGGUAUUCAAUCUCCUAUCUUGUAAGCCUAUAAAUAGGUGGUUCUACCAAAGAUUAAGAGAAGAAUAAACAUGGUGAAACUUUGUCUUUAGCAUAUCACUUCUCUCUACAUUUUCUCCCUCUAGUUUUAUAACACGUUAUCAGCACGACAUUGCUCUUGGUAUGUUUUCUUUCUCUGAAUUUUCUUUCUUCUUAUAUGAGCUAAAGUCAUCACAUGGUAUAGAGUUUCUUUGUACUCACCAUCAGACUUCAUCAUGCUUGUUUAAGAAAAAAAAAUUCUUAUUCUUAUUACACAUGAAUAUAAUGCCAUGUUUUUGUUUUUAUUUGUUUGUUUAUUUAAUUUUAAGUAUGAUCUUAGUUAUUAUGAUGAGUUUGAAUUAUACAAAAGAUCAGGGGCCCGAAGUUCCGUGAUCCUCAUCAUAUAACUAGAUUAGGAUAUAGAGUCCUGUUGAUUGAAUCAGAACCUGAAGUUCUUUGAUUCCAAAUAAUUGAGGGCGUGAAGUUCCGCGAAUUUAAAGAGCACAUAAGGACAUAAAACUCCUCGAUUUUGUAUUAAUCAAAAUCAGAAUUCCAUGAGGCCUACAUAUGUCAAGAACUUGAACCAGAAGUUUCGAGUGCAUAUACAUCGAUUUGAGUAUGAAGUUCAAAGCACAACUAUUAAUUCAAUUUAUUUAGAUCUACGUAUUCGUACCUGAAGUUUCGAAUAUAUAUUGAUAUGAACCUGAAGUUCAUAGUUUUUCAUGGAUCUUAAUACUAUAUAUGAACUUGAAGUUCAUUACUUAUUUGUGCCUAUAUGAACCUGAAUUGGUUGGAAAUCCAAUUCUUAAACUUGUAGUUUUAUCUACAUAUUGAAUCCACAUUAAUAUUGGAUUAUCUUGGAAUUUCAUAAUCUUUAAUUGAUUUAUUUUAUUCCUUGUUUAUACCACUUUACUUAUUUUAUUAUAUUAUAUUUUAUUUAUGUUAGGUUAUUAAUUAAUUUCAUUUUACAAUGGUAAUGUUUUGUAUUACCGCCCCAAUAUUGAUAGCCAGAGGCGUCUAUUGGAGAAACUUCCUACGUUCUUUUGUGGGUAGGAAGUUUAUGAUGUUAUGAACCAAAAGUUCUUGAGGCCCCAAUAUUACACAACUAUUAUAGUUGAAGAUUAUGAUGUCAUGAACUAGAAGUUCAUUGACCGAAUAACUUUUAUGUUGUGACAUGACUAUCUUGGCAAUCCAUGUCCCACAAUGAUGCAUAAGAUUUUUAUAAAUUUGUAAGGACAUAGUUUAAAGACUCAAAUUAUUGUCUUGUCCAACAAUAUCAUUACAAAGAACGCUCACAAAUAAAAGCUGUCAUAAGAUCAUCUCAGUCAAAAAUUGACUUUGAGCCAUCUUUCCUGAAAUAAUUCAAGGGGAUAUUUGUGAGCCUAUACAACAUCUAAUUAUGGAUCACUUCACCAGUUUUACUGAAUGUGCCUACUAAAAUGGUCACAUAUUUGAUAACGACUGUGAGUUUAUUUUCCUACAUUUUGAGACAAUUUUCCCGCCGUUAGGGGGAGAAAUGACAAUUCCUAAAGAACGUCGUGAAAUAGUGUUGAAUCAAUCCGCUUUUGUCUCAUCAAGAUAAUGCAUAUAUAAGUUGUACAUAUGCUAACAUGGAUUGAUAUUCUCGUAUCACAAUCCAUUAACAUGGUGACUAUAUAUAUAAUGCAUGCCUGAAGCAUGUCAGAAAUAUAGGUUCUAAAAACUUAACUCCCUAGAAGUGGAGAUUAUUUGAAAAAUUCAAGCCCUAUAAAAAAAUAACGCUCUAUAGGAGGUUAUGAUCCACAUAUUCUAAAUAAUUCAUUGUAAAAGAGGCGUUUGUCCCAUAAGUGACAACAUAAGCCCCUGAAGAGGCAUUGGUACCCCAAAGCAAUGAGAUGAUUAUAAAUUAUGCAUGUGCAUGCACAUAAGAAUUGUGGGAUCACAAAUUGAUGAUACAUUUGGUUUAUUAGUAGCUACUACAAUCAUCAAUGGCUAUGAUUAUAUUAAAUCACGUUUCAUGAAUGUCGACAAGUUAAGUGAUUGGCCAAAAAUGGAAAUAGGCAAUUCCAUUUAUCACUAAAUAAGAAGAGUUGGAUAUUGAACCUAUAACUCAAACACCAAAUUACAAAUGUUCAGUAUGAAGGUUACGAAUUGGUGUUUGUGAAGUGAAAUAAGAUCACUAAUAUGACAUAAGGUUUCCUGGGAGAGACAUGUGGUUUUAGUCUCCAAUCUCAUCGUAAAUGCAUCCACAUUUCUAUAAGUGCGGUUGUUACUUUAACGCAAAACUUAUAGUAUGUGUUAAAUGCAUAUUUAUUAAGACUAUAUGGUACAUGGAAAUCCUCAAAGCUCAUGAAAUAUUUGAGAUAUAUCGGAUGAAGCAACCUCUUGAAAGAUAUAAAGUACCACAAUAUUCUUAAUUAAGAGUUAACACUAAGAGUUUGAGUAUUUUGAAUUCAAAUUUGAUAUUGUUGUAACAGAUUCUAACUACUAAAUUAGUUGUUGAUACUCCUAAAGAUUUCAAUCAUUUGAAAAGUGAAAAGCAGGUUGAAUAGUGUGAUAGAUGAUCAUGUAUGAAGACAAUAUUGCUUGUAUUGCUCAAAUCAGAGAAGGAGAGAUAUUAAUCAGGGGGAGAUAUCAAUCAGGGGGAGCAUCCCAAUUCUACUACAUUCAAGGCAGAUGCGCGUUGUACUCUUUUUCCCUUCGACUAGGUUUUUGUCCCACUGGAUUUUUCCUAGCAAGGUUUUAACGAGGCAAUAUAAGCUCAUCCAACACCAUAUCAAUGAUUCAGAAGAAAGUUUCACUCUUUUUCCCUUCGCUUUGGUUUUGUCCCACUGGGUUUUCCAAGCAAGGUUUUUAAUGAGGAAACAAUGUCAUUGUAUGGUGGACAUCCAAGGGGGAGUGUUGUAAAUGCAUGAGUUGGUGGAUGACCACCAUACCUCUUAAUAUUCCACCGUUGGAUUUUAUGUAACCUAUGUACUAAGUAUUUGUAAUUAGUACUUGUAACCUAUAGGUAUAUUGUAAAUGAUGGUAUUCAAUCUCCUAUCUUGUAAGCCUAUAAAUAGGUGGUUCUACCAAAGAUUUAGAAAAGAAUAAACAUGGUGAAACUUUGUCUUUAGCAUAUCACUUCUCUCUACAUUUUCUCCCUCUAGUUUUAUAACAGAAUAUACAAUUUUCAACAAAAUGAAUGUAAUGGAGAAAAGAUGAGUAGAAAAAUCAACUCCCUUAAUUUAUGGUAUGUAUCAAUUAUUCAAUUGUUGGACAUCAUCUAACAUGUUGUUGUAAAUAGAAGAUUAAUUCCCUUUUAUAAAUAAUAUCUAGAUUGUGAUAGAAAACAAGGAAGUUACUCAGGAUGAAGACAAUAUCCUAUUUAAAGAGAAAUAAUGUUACAAGGGACUUUUGUUUUGUUUUUAGCACACGAUACGAAUCUAAUAAAGUGGUCACAAAGGAAGAGAAGUGCACGAAUAAAUGCUCUAAACUAUAUGAGUUAGAGCAUUUAUAAUUAUACUCCUUAUUUUUUAAUUAAAAUUUAGUUAAAAACACUGAAAACCUAUUUUAGGAGCAUUCAUAAUCAUGCUCCUCAUUCAUAAUAAUCUCACCCAUUUCACUGGGAAUACAUUUGUAUGCUCUCACCCAUUCUAGGCAUAGCCAGACUACAUGCAUCACCGGUCUACACACUCCAUUUAGUUGUUUGACUGGUAAGACUUUUCUUCUUCCUUUUUUUUCUUUUAUAAGUUUAACAUUAUCCUACAUUUUCUUACCUUGACCCAUACCCGAAUAUGCGUACUCCGCAAGUAUAAAGGGAAAAGUCAAGCGAAUAAUAAAAAUAAUAAUACAACAUGUAUUCAAUUUGAUCUUGGCCACUCCAUCACUUCAAGAGAGACAACAUAAGCAACAAACACAUACACAUACAUAAUCUGCAUUUGCUCUUAAUUAGUGCAAAACACAAACACAAACAUAUAAUCUAAGCCAGAUGGGUUCCAAGGCAGCAGCUAAUAAACCUCAUGUUGUUUGUGUUCCAGCUCCAGCUCAAAGUCAUAUCAAGGCAAACCUCAAAUUUGCAAAGCUCCUCCACCAUAGAGGUGUUCAUGUAACCUUUGUCAACACAGAGUUCAACCACAACCGCUUUCUUAAAUCUCUUGGACCCAACUCCCUUGACGGGUUGCCCGAUUUUCGAUUCGAAACUAUUCCUGAUGGCCUUCCAGCUGGUUCAGAUCAAGAUGCAACCCAAGAUGUCUAUUUGGUUGCUGAUUCCAUCCGCAACAAACUCUUGGCCCCAUUUCGAGACCUCCUUAUGAAACUCGAUGACAGAUCAACUUCCAACAGUGAUAUCAAUCCUCCAGUGACUUGCAUUGUUUCAGAUGGUUUCAUGCCAUUCACAACCACAGCUGCAGAAGAAAUUGGAGUUCCUGUAGUGCUUUUGUUCACUAUUGCUGCAUGCAGCUUCAUGGGCUGUAAGCAAUUCCCUGCUUUGGUGGAAAAAGGUCUUGCGCCACUCAAAGGUGAAAUAAAUGAUUUUUAAGGAAUUAUUUGUAUGAUAUUAUUGAUUAACAAAUGUUAAAUCUUACUUUGGGUGUUAAUGUAGAUGAGAGCUGUUUGACAAAUGGCUUCUUGGACAAGGUAAUAGAUUGGAUUCCAGGAAUGAAAGGUAUUCGUUUGAGGGAUCUACCGACGAAUUUUCGAACUACAGAUCCCAAUGACAUCUUGUUUAACUUCGCCUUGGAAUCAAUUGAAAGAGUUCAUAAAGCUUCAGCAGUUGUGCUUCAUACUUUUGACGCAUUGGAGCCAGAUGUUUUGAAUGCUAUGUCAUCUAUGCUUCCACUUGUUUAUGCCAUUGGGCCUGACCAAUUACUUCUCAAUCAAUUACCAGAAGACCCUUUGAAGCAUAUUGGAUACAGUUUAUGGAAAGAAGAAACUGAAUGCCUUGAAUGGCUAAAAUCCAAGGCACUAAAUUCAGUUGUAUAUGUGAAUUUUGGCAGCAUAGCAGUCCUGACACCACAACAACUUGUUGAGUUUGGAUGGGGACUGGCAAAUAGUAAGCUUCCUUUCUUUUGGGUGAUUAGGCCUGAUUUGGUUGUUGGUGAAUCAGCAAUUUUGCCACCUGAGUUUGUAGCUGAAACAAAGGAAAGAGGUCUAAUAGCAAGUUGGUGCCCACAAGAGCAAGUCCUUAACGACCCAUCAGUCGGAGGGUUUUUGACACACAGCGGUUGGAAUUCAACCAUUGAGAGUUUGUGUGCAGGAGUGCCUAUGCUUUGUUGGCCAUUCUUUGCAGACCAACAAACAAACUGUUACUAUGCUUGCAAUGAAUGGGGAAUUGGCUUGGAGAUCAACAAUGAUGUCAAGAGAGACCAAGUAGAGAAGCUUGUUAAAGAGUUAAUGGAAGGAGAGAAGGGUAAGAAAAUGAAAAAUAAGGUCAUGGAGUGGAAGAAACUAGCAGAAGAAGCCACCAGUCCACAUGGUUCUUCAUCCACAAACUUAGACAAUUUAGUGAAUCAAGUGAUCUUAAGAAAAACCUAGAUUAUUUUCAUUAAAGUUUUGAUCCUGCGUACCAUUAGGCCUCUCUUCUCUCUCUAGUCUGAAGAGAGAAAAACCCUAGGAACCUGCAGCAGCCGCCGGCCCCCUCUAUUUCCUAUCGUCCCCUCAUCCCCUCCCCUACUCCUUUCCCAGCUCUUCCCCUUUUCUCUCCUCUUUUCUUCUCCCCAUCUUUCUCCCCUCUCCUCCCUCCCUUAUACCCGUCCCCUCUGCUUCUCACCCGCCCUUCCUCCUUGUCCCUCCUUUCCUUUUGCUCCUUCCCUUCCUCGCAGUUUUAGGCUGGGAUUGUGUGACUGGCUCUUUUGGUUUUUUGGUUUUCUUUUUUGCAGAUUCGGAGUUGUCAAUUUUCGAGUUGCUUUGCUUUGCAGAGCUUUUGUCGACUUUGAUUGCUGCUUUUGAUUUCGUGUUUUUUGUUUGCAGUUUCGGUGUUGAUUUUAGUGCUUGUUGCCGUGUCUAUUUGUAUUUUAUUUUAGUUGUGAGAGUUAAAAGUUGUAAGGGGUUGUAAUUGCACUUGUAGUUUGGGCGUCUAGGUCGUUUGGCUGUAGGGCGGCUUGUGUUCUAUGCCUGAUUUAUCUAGGCUCUUGGUUUCUUUACCGCAUUUCCUCUGGCUAUGUGUGGCUAUGAGGGGAGAUACAAUGUUGAUGUCGGUGUAUUUCUUCCCAUGUGGAUUAACCUUUGGUGGGUUACUCUGCUUCCACAUUUGUAUUAACCUUAUAUGGGUAUAUGUUUUUAUACUCGCUUUUACAACUAACAACAUUUGUGCUUGAUUUAUAAAUGGAAUGCAUCGCUUCCUCUUAAAAAGAAAAACCUAGAUUUUGUUAUCCUGUGUACACCUUUCCCUUGUUGUUUCUUUAGCAAGAUCAAAUCUCGUAUAUGUAUCGUGGUUGGAAGAUUUAAUACAUCUCAAUUUAAAUAAUACUUGGAUCUAAUAGACCUCGUGUGAAAGGCCAGUUUGGCAUUGCUGUGCUGGAAAAAUAAUUGUUGUUGGAUUUGCUGUGAGAGAAAUUAGCUGUAAGAGAAAGCAGUUUGGCGUUUGGUAAAAUUUUUGUUAAAAGUAUUGUUGAUAUUGAUUUCCGCAUAAUCAAAAAAUGAUUGCCGCAUAAUCAUUAAUCCCUGCGCCUUUUUGAAACUGAUUCCUGUAUAAUCAGAAAAUUAAAACACCUCAUUAGUUGCUUUCCCUUAUAGCUUUCUCUCACAGCAAUUUUUAACAAUAAGUGAUUUUCUCACAGCUUACCAAACGGGUUGAACUUCCCAAAUUUUUUUUAAAAUCACUUAUCAACCCCAAAUAAGCAAUGCCAAACAAGCACUUAGUCUAUCAAUACGCACACAAAACAAAAAAACAAAAAAAACAAAAAAUAUCCACAUAAAAAUGCAUGGCACAUGUUCAUAUUUUUUAUCCAUCAAUACGAUUCCACCUACUCAAAACAAAAACCAUAGAAAAAGAAAAGGCACCAAAAACCAACAAUAUAUAGGCACGCCAAGUAACAUCUGCAUAUUAACUCACAAGAUCAGAGAUAGGCAUGUUUCUAUAGACGUAGCUGAUCAGAAGCCUCAUGCUUUAUGUAUCCCAUUACCAUAUCAAGGCCACAUAAGGCCACUCCUCAAGUUUGCAAAGCUCCUACACCAUCGUGGUUUCCGAAUCACCUUUGUCAAUAUCACAUACAACCACAUACGCUUUCUUAAAUCUUUAGGCCACGACACCCUUGACGGCUUGACAGACUCAUUUUGAAACCAUCCCAGAUGGUCUCCCUCCUUUAGAUUCUGAUUCAACUCAAGACAUCUAUGCUAUUUGUGACUCCAUUAAUCAUAAUUUCUUGGGUCCAUUUCGUGCCCUCCUCGCAAAGCUCAAUGAUGCUGCUCUCAAAAUAAUUAGGGUUUAAACUGAUAUGUUUAUUCUUCUCUUAAGGAGGAAUAUAUAUACUACAUACAGAGUGAGUACAAAUAGGAAAUAUGUACAAAAUCUCCUAAUUCUACUCAAAUUAGAUAAUUACAAUCAAAUAUAAAUUCUAUUCCUAAUAGGAACGUUGACUCACGCCAACACUCCCCCUCAAGUUGGGGCAUAGAUAUUGGUAAUGUCCAACUUGUCAAGUGAGUCUUCAAAUCAGCACUUUGACACGACAUGAGUCAACAUAUCUGCAAGCUGCUCCGAAGAAGGCACAAAAGGAAUAGAAAUUAACUUAUGCUCCAGCUUCUCCUUAAUGAAAUACCGAUCAACUUCUACAUGCUUAGUUAGAUCAUGGUGCACAUGAUUGUUAGCAAUUUCAUAUGCAGACUGACUAUCACCGUAGAGCUUUGUAGCAGCAUUUGGUCUAUCCCAAUUUCAGCAAGUAACCACCUCAACCACAGUAUUUCACAAACCCCUUGGGCAAUCCCUCUGUACUCAGACUCUGCAGAGGACUGAGUCAUAACGUUUUGCUUCUUGCUACGCCCCGUAACUAGGUUACCACCAACAAAUGUGAAGUAACCUGAUGUAUAACGUCUAUUUGUAAUAUUCCCUGCAUAAUCUGCCUCAGUGUAACCUUCUAAAUCCAAGUGGCCAUUUUUCUUAAAUAAUAAACCUCUCCCAGGAGUAGACUUUAAGUAACUCAGAAUACGUAUUACAGCAACCAUAUGAUCCUCGCUAGGUGACUGCAUAAAUUGGCUAGCCAAUACUACUCCCCCUUGUACAUCUAGCCAGUUAUGUCCUUCACUACUAGUCUGUCCCUGAAGGACAUGCUCAGGUGUAUUAGAGAAGAACAUUUCAUCCUCAAUAAAGGUAACAUCCAUAGAGACAUAUAGAUGUCUGGUUGCAAGACGAUAGAAUCGGUAGCCUUUCUAAUGAGAAGAGAAACCCAGAAAAACACAGCAGAGAUCACAGAGGUCUAGUUUACUCCUCUGAUUCUGAUGGAAGUGAACAUAGAUGACAUAACCAAACACCUUUGGAGACAGAAUCAACAUAGAAGGGGCAAGGAUAUGAUGGGUUAGUACCUGCAUAGGAGUUCAGAAAUCCAAAACUCGUGAAGGUAGACGAUUCAAGAGAUGGACUGUAUAAGUAACAGCAUCCAUCCAGAACCGCUUUAGAACUGAUGCACCAAGCAGCAGAGCAUGGGUUGCAGCAAGGAUCUACCCAUUUUUACAUUCAACAACUUCAUUCUGCUGUGGUGUUUGAGGGCAAGUAGUCUCAUUAAGUACAUUCUUAGUGUGAAAAAUAUGGGAUAACGCCGAAUUAACAAAUUCUCCACCAUUAUCAGAUUGAAAAACUUUGAUAGGGAGCAUAAAUUGAGUUUGAAUCAUCUUAUAGAAACGCUGAAAAAUUUCAACCACAUCACUUUUAUUUUUCAUUUCAUAUAACCACAUCAUAUGAGUGCAAUCAUCCACAAAUAACAUAAACCAGCAAACUCCCAAGGCUGUAGAAACAGGGGAAGGUCCCCAAAUAUCAUAAUGAACUAAAUCAAAUGGCAUAAGCCGUUUAUUGCAACUUUGAGGGUAGGAUAUUCGACGCCUCUUAGCUAAAAUACAAGUCUAACAUUGGAAAACAGACUCGUUGACACAACUAAAUAAUGCAGGAAACAAAUGCCGUAACAAUCCAAAGGAGGCAUGAACAAAUCGGCAACGUAGCAACCAAAUCCGGCGAUGCUGAGAAGUUUCGGCGCUACCAGCACAAAGAACCUGACUAGUUGCCACAUCAUCCACAUAAUAAAGCCCUCCCCCCUCCCCCUCCCCCCAUUUUAGUACUACGACCAAAGAUCUCCUGAGUCUGGAUAUCUUGUAGUAAGACAAAAGAUAGAUACAUUAGUACAACACAGUUUAACUACUGAGUAACUUGCAGCAUAGAUAAUAAAUUACUAGACAAAAAUGAAACUAGUAAGACUUUGUCCAAUGGUAAAGCAAGUGUCAAGAGUAUAGAACCAGCCCUUAUGACAGGAGCAGCAGCAUUAUUAGCAGUCAGAAUAUGAUCACGAUGAGGCGGAAGAGUAGUAGAGAAUAAAGCAGCAUUAUGCGUCAUAUGGUCAGUAGCUCCUAAAUCAAUAAUCCAACCCGUAUCGCGUGCAUCACGAGCAUGGAAAGCCUUGCCAAAGUUACUUGGAGGCGGAGGUGUUGGAGUGCUUGAGACCGCGGUCAAGGUCGGAGGAAGAGUAGCAGUAAGGUAGCUAUGCCUAGUGGUAAUGUCAGCCACAGAAGUGGGGGUAACAGCCACAUGAGCUUUGUUGUCUAGUUGUUCCUUUUGUAAACACCUCCGCUUCUUCUCCCAAUAUGGUACCCCAUGCAAUGCCAGCAGGUAGUAUGUCUCUUUUAACCACAGUGAUCACACUUAAGUUUAUCUUUUUCUGCAGAAGUCAGGCAAAGAGGUGGAACAGCAUAAGAGCCAAACCCUGUAUGCCUAGAAACCAGACCAGUUUUUUGGAAGCAAACACAACAGCAGGUUCCCAAAUCUUGGUGCCUGAUCUAAGCAUAGUAAUCUGGCGUUGAGCCUCUCGACAGACCAUAAAAAAUACAUUGUCGAUACUUGGAACUUUAUCACUUCAUAGAAUGUCAUUGCGGACCUUGUCAUAAGUAUCGUCAAGGCCAACCAAAAAAUCAUACACACGAUCUGCCAUAAUAGCAGCCUGAAAAGUCUUCAUAUCAUCAGCACACUUUAUCUGAAAAAGACGUCUCUUGUCCAAUUCAAGCCAGAUUGCCUGAAGUUCGACAAAAUAUGUAAACACACGACUACCCUCUUGCUUGAGACGGGUAGCCUGGCACUACAGUUCAUAGAGCUGGGAUAUGUAAGAGCCAUCAUAAAACAUUUGAUUAUCAGCAUCCCAAAUUUUCUUAGCAGUAGGUAAAGUAUGAAACAUAUUCAACAAAUCGGGUUCCAUAGUUUGCAACAUCCAACUUUUCACAAUAACAUCAGCAAUUUUCCAUUUCCCAACUUUUGGGUCUUGGGAAUCAAAGGCAUCAGUGUCGCCAGUCAAGUAACCCAAUUUGCCUUGUGUAGUAGCAUGAAGUUCGAUCAUCGAAGCCCAUAUCUCAUAGUUGGAUCCAUUCAAUUUGAAUCUCAUAGGUAGAUUGGUGGACGAUUCGAUGUGAACCGUCAUAAUAGGAGUAGAAGAAGAAGAUUCAGUGACAUCUGGCGUGGUGACAGAUGGCAGCAGUAGUAGAAGAUUAGGUGGCAACAACAACAGUAAGAGAUAUGAGACGGCACAGGCUUAGGUGUAUAGGCGGCACAUGUUUAGGUGUAUAUGCUAGAUGCAGCAAAAAAUAGGUAUUUUUUAGGAUUAGGGUUUUGACGUUGUAGAGACGGAUCGGAACCCGCUCUAAUACCAACUCAAAAUAAUUAGGAUUUAAACUGAUAUGUUUAUUCUUCUCUCAAGAAGGAAUAUAUAUACUACAUACAGAGUGGGUACAAAUAGGAAAUACGUACAAAAUCUCUUAAUUUUACUCAAAUUAGAUCAUUACAAUAAAAUAUAAAUUCUAUUCCUAAUAGGAACGUUGACUCACGCCAACAGCUGCAACUUCCAACAAUACCCCUCCUGUGACCAGCAUUGUCUUAGAUGGUUUCAUGAGCUUCUCAAUCAGAGCUGCUGAAGAACUUGGACUUCCUAUUGUGUUGUUCUUUCCUACUGCUUCUUGUGGCUUCAAACAUUACCUCGCUCUCGUAGAAAAAGGAUUUACACCACUAAAAGGUAAAGGGAUGAGCCAGAAAUUAAUUUGUUAUGUUAUGUUUUUUAUUAACUAGUAACAUUCUAUUUUUUAUCUUAACUAUAGUAACAUUAAUCUGUUUUCAAUGUUGCAGGUAAGAGUUAUGUAUCAAAUGGUGUUAGAGAACAAUCAGUAUAAAACCAAAUAACAGAAUAAUAACAAUUCGAAAUAUGCUUCAAAUCAAUACAACAGUAAAAUAAAUUAUAGAGUACUGAUUUGGAUUCAUGAUAGAGUCCUGCAGAGUUGCAGAUUAAAUCAACAGAGCCCAAGGCCCAAGGCCCAUCUUUUGACAAUUAUAUAUAUAUAUAUAUGAUGAGGCCUAACUUUGCCUCCACUAGGCCCAUACCCUAUUUAGUAUUUCUAAAGUGUUCGCGAUUAUAAACCAUGAAAGGAAACAACUCCCUUCCAAUGUGGGACUAAAUGCAAGUGUAUUUUUCCUAUACAAACUGUAACAAAUGGCUACUUAGACACUGUCAUAGAUUGGACACCGUACCGAGAAUGAAAGAUAUCCGCCUAAGGGAUCUUCCAACGUUUCUUCGAACUACAAAUCCAAAAGAUAGUGUCUUUAUCUUAACAAGGGAAGCAACUAAAAGAGCACAUAAAGCCUUUACAGUUGUUAGUCAUACUUUUGAUGCAUUGGAGCAAGAGAUUUUGGAUGCUCUCUCAUCUGUGCUUCCACAUCUCUAUGCCAUUGGCCCUCUCCAAUUACUUGUCAAUCAGAUACCAGAAGACCUUUUGAAGCCAAUGGGAUAAAGCCUAUGGAAAGAAGAAACUGAGUGCCUUCCCUGGCUAGACUCAAAGGCACCAAACUCAGUUGUUUAUGUGAACUUUGGCAGCGUGGGUGGUCAUGACACCACAACAGCUUGUUGAGUUUGGUUGGGGACUUGCAAAUAGUAAGCAUCACUUCUUCUGGGUAAUUAGGCCUGAUUUGGUUGUUGGUGAAACCACGAUUUUGCAGCUGAAACCAAAGAAAAGGGUCUAAUAGCAGGUUGGAGCCCUCAAGAAGUGCUUAACCAUCCAUGGGUUAAAGGGUUUUUGACACCCAACGGAUGGAAUUCAACUAUUGAGAGCGUGGCAGCUGGAAUGCCUAUGUUCUCCUGGCCAUUCUUUGCUGAGCAGCAAACAAAUUGUUGGUAUACUUGCAAUGGAAUGGAGACUGGGAUGGAGAUUGAUAACAAUAUGAAGAAAGAUAAAGUGAAGAAGCUUGUUAGAGAGUUGAUGGAGGGGGAGAAGGGUGAGAAAAUGAAGAAUAAGGCUAAAGAGUGGAAGACAUUGGCAGGGGAGGCCACUGGUUCACAAGGUUCUUCAUUCAAAAACUUGGACAAUGUGGUGAACCAUGUGCUUCUAAGGAAAAGCUAACCUCAGCUAAGCUAGAUGUGUACUCUUUUUCUUUCAUUCAAAUGUAAGGUGCGUGCCCAAUCUCCACUUAUGGCUGAAGUUUUGGCCCUGAAACAUGGUCUUUUGAGAGCUAAAGAGUUGAAUUUGGUUAAUGUUGUGGUGGAAUCUGAUUCUCAAGUGGCUAUUAAUUCUGUUCUAAGGGAUGUUUCUUCCUCUAAUUGGGAGUUGUUUCCUAUCCUUAAGGAUAUUAGGUUUCUUAAAGCCUCUUUCACAAAUCUGAAUUGGGCAUGGGUACCCCGUGAAGCGAACCAGUCUGCGGAUGCCGUUGCCUUGCUUGCCAGGAAGGGGAUGUGCUUGGAGUCGUGGCUUGUGCGACCUCCAUCCUCUCUAGUUCAUAUUUUAUCUCGAGAUGGUCUUCCUUGCCCUCCGCCUGGUGCUUAAUCUUUUGUUGUGUGGUUUUUCGUUUGUUUUGUUCUUUUGGCUUGUUUUUAGUUCUUUAGUUUGGUGUGUUUGUUCUGUUUGUUUGGUUGGGUUUGGCUCCCCUUUGGGCCUUUGCCGGUUGGCUUUUAUGAUAUCUUUGUUGACCAAAACAAAAAAAAGUCUUAAAUACGCAUUGUAUGACAACAGAAACAGGAAAAAUAAAUAAAUAAAUGAAGAGUGCAAUAUGUUAUUAAAAAUUGUGUUUUUCCUUUUUUGUAAAACUCUUAUUCAAACUUUUAGAUAUAAAUAAUAUAUAAAAUAAAGCUUUAACAGUAAAGUAAAAAUAAAGAAACAAAUAAAUAAGUAAAAUAAGUCAAGAGUAAGAAAGCAAGCCUGGUAUAGUGAAAGCACGUCAAAGAUGCUGUCCUAAAUCCUUUUUAGCCUCCCUACGUGCAGGUAAUGAUAGUCUACAAGACUGCAAGAUGCAACCCCAAUACGUGGACUCAAGGUCCGCUAUGAGCACGUUCACAAUUGGAUAGAAAUCAGAAAAUAAAUAGAAAAAUCAGAAAAAUUAAGUCAAUGAAUAGAAAAUCAAAACUGAAAAUUUAAAUAAUUCUAACUCUCAUAAUAAAUAAAAGAAAAUAACCAAAAUAUUAAAACAAAAUCAAAACCUUAAAUUUUAAAACCUUUCAAAUAAUAACUCAUUACAUCAAUCACAGUUCUGCAUUAUAUAUAUGACCUUAUUAAAAGGGGAUUAUCAAUACACAAAAACCAUAUAAAAAUGCAUAGCACAUUUAACAAAAUAUAUAUAAUUUCAAUGCGCAUACUCAAAAACCAUAGAAAGAGAAAAGGCAUGGCACCUCAAGCAGGGCCGUCCCUGAGAUUUUGAGGGCCCUAUUCGAAACUUAAAUUGGGGUCUUACAUAAUUUAAUACAAAAAUACUAUAAAUACAAAUUUGCCAUAACUUAAUGUCAUAAAUAAUUUUUUUAUAACUAAAAGUCACCAUCAAUAAACAUGUAAUGACAAUCAAAAAUCAAAUUCAUAAAAAUUUAAAUGUUUCCAUUUGAUAAAGUUAAAUAUUAGUAUGUUUGGUACAAAAAUAAGCUCAUUGUGCCCUUAUAAGGUCCCUUUCUACCUCCUAUAAGCAAUCUGUGUUUAAUAGGAAGAAAAAAAAAAGGCAAUCUGUGUAGCAUGUGAUUCUUUAACAAUGAAUCUAUCAAGAUUCAAGAGCUCCUCUUUGAGAUUGAGUCAAUUCCUCGAUUUUUCUUUUUCUAAGUCUUUUUGUAUAUCCAAAAACGUAUUAUCUAGUCGGUGGCAUGUUUAGAUUACAAAGAAAAUUUCCAAAACCCUGUAACCUGGAAGAAAACCCCAGCAAGAAAUAGAUAAAUAUUUCUAAAAACCAUAUUCUCAUAUAACCAAUCAUCAUUAUGAUAAUAAUUUAAUAAAAUAAGUCAUGUAAUAUAUAGAUUAAAAUUUAGAUAUAUACCUGAAUUUGAAAUGAUCUUUGAAUCUGACUAUUUGAUUUUGAGUGGCCUUUAUGAAUUUAGGAAUUAGGGUUUUCUCUUUUUGGGGUUGAAAUUCUUGAAAUUGAAAAAAUAAGAAAAAUUGUCAAAGGAUUGAAAAAAGAACCAAAGAGAGAUUGAUGAAUGAUAAUGAUUAUUUAUUAGAAAAUCAGAGUUUAAGAGAAAGAAGAAGCCAUGAAUUUUUUUUUUUAAUUUUUUAAUUUUUUGGUUUUGAAUGAAGAAAGUAAUCUUCUUGGAAAAGAAUAUAUAUAUAUAUAUAUAUUUUAAAGGUGUGCUUUUGUUUUCCUUUUUUUUAAAAAGUUUAUAAUUAUGUAAAGUUUUUUAUUAACUUGUUAUAAUAAAAAUAAUAUAUAAAAAGCUGAAUAGAUUGACAUUAAUGAGAAUCAAACUCGUGCGCCUCUGUUAAGUGGAGAUGCACUGGAAAGUCAACUCCACCGGGCACACUUUUGUGCAAAUAUUUAGCACGCUAUAGUAUAUAUACACUUCCUAUAAUAUUAAUACACAUAUAUAAUAUAAAGGAAAUUUUUUUUUCGGGGCCCCUGUGCGGUGGCACCACUUGCACCACCCCAGGGCCGCCCCUGACCUCAAGCUGUAUUAUAAUUUCAGAAAAUCAAGAGAUGUUGACUUUGGCAGAAAAAAUUGGUGUGGCUUUAAUGAAGGCCACGUGUGACGUGCAGUGUUUUCAAAGGCAUGCCUAAUCUCGCCCCAGUGAGCGCAUCGGAGCGAGGCGAAUGGAAAUCGCCUCAAGCAUUCGUCUGUUUAGGUUACUGCACGUUUAGCUGAGUGAGGCGCAUCAAGGCGUGGUGAGGCAGAACGGCGCCGCUGUUUUUGCGUUCUACAAGCCCAUACCGCGAUGAAGAAGAUGAAGUUUUUUUUAGUUGUUCUUCCAUGAAACGACUUCAUUUUAAGGUUUUGGUUUCUUGAUUUUAAGUUAAACGCACGUUUUGACUCCCCAACUAUAUAACCUGGACCCAUAUAUAUUAUCUAUAUAUAUAAAGCAAAAUGCAGAGAAUGGUGAAACAUUUAAAAUACCAGAAAAUGCCCUUGGUUAAUGCAAACAUUAAGAAUUGAAAUUAUUAAUUAAAUGAGGAUAAUAUGGUAAAUUCAUAAUUUUUCGUAUUAAAAAAAUUAAAAUUAAAAGAAAAUUCAGAUAAUGGAUCCUAUUUUUAUGGAACACAAAUAUCCAUUAUCUUUUUUAAUUCUAAAAUAAAUUUAAAUUUUUUUAAAAAAAAACCUCUCGCAUGCGCGGAAGCGCGUGCAGAGAGGCUAGUAUACUAUAGCAUUAAUAUUAUACCCAAGUUGGACCUGAAGGAUAACCUGGCCAUAUAAGAUAUAACCCUUACCCGAUAUUCUUGUCCACUCUUUUGUUCCUCUUCUCCCUAGUUUUAUGAAGUUUCUAUUAAAUUCUUUUGCCUCUGUGGGGUGGGAUGAAUGAAUUGAAUUAAUCUUUUGAUGUUGAAUAAAUAUUUUUCAAAAAUGUGAAUUAGUACUAUAAUUUAGUUGUGUUGCAUUAUUUAUAAAUUUUUGUUAUUAAAAUAAAUUAAUGUUCAAAAGGCUUACGCCUCAAUGCUUUAAGGUUUACGCCUCACAUAGCGGUACUAAAAAUGCCUUGCCUAUACGCCUCGUCUUUGAAAACAUUGGUGACGUGUCCCUUUUGUGUUUUUCAGCCACACUUUGAAGAUCAAAGACGGAUUAGACCUUGGGCGGCCGAUCAUAGAGAAAUUCUCUAUUUGUUUGCCUCUAUGUUGCUGCAUACAGCAGCUUUGGUGAGGAGCCAAAGGUCCAUUUUGUCUUGUCUUUCUUGGUCAUUGGGUGUGAGCCUCAUUUGUGAGUCUCUCUUCUAUUUGGUGUGCUAGCGACUUAAUGAGCAACAAGGAGAGUCUGUAAGUUUCUCUUCUUCUGUUUUCGGUUGAUCUUCUGUUUAUGAGUUGCUUUAUACAUCUGUAUCUGUUCUCCUUUUGGUAUUUGUAUGUGAGUAAGAAUCUGAUAAUCGGGACGGACCUAUGAUUUGAAAAUUGAGUGGGCUAAAUUUACCUUACGUACAAAUCUAUUAAAUUUCGAUAGUUUUGGAUAAGUGGCCCAAAAAUUAGAAAAUACUGACAAAUUAUUGAUAUCGGUACAAAUUUGAUAAAAAAAGAUUGAAAUUGUGAGAAAAAUAUGAAAAUUGUUAGUGAAACUUUAGAAAAUGUUACAUAUUAUUUUAACACAAAAGAAGUGAAAGAAAUUUUUAUAUAUAAAAAAAGGAAUUAAAAGAAAUGUAUUGCACGGUGAGUUUGAGUGAUUUAAAUGAAUAUAUUACGAGUUAACAUGUUAAUUAAUGAAAGAGUAUUAAAACAAUAUAUAGAAGCAAUAAAUAUGGGAGUGUGUUAAAUAUUUAAACAAAAGUUGAGUAGUUUGUUGAUUGAGUCUAGUGGGGAUUGCCAGGAUGGACACAUGUUGGUUACAAAAAAUUACUGUUUUAGCAUUAUUUUUUACUUUUUGGGUGGGCUGGGUAUGAUAUUGUGGGCUGGUGAAAAGAAAGUCACCUGGGCUAUAUCCCAGGUUAGUCCAAGGGCAGGUCCGUCCGGGUGCAUUUGGGGUUUGGAUUGAGAGAGUCGAACAAUCUGCUGUUGUGGUGAGAGUGUUAAUUCCUUUGCGUGUUAUUUUGUUUUAUCUACAUCUGUUAUAUCUUGUAUUGUUAUUUUAUCAUUCUCACAUCUGUCAUAUCUUGUCUUGAAGAUUUCGUUGUUGACAUCUGAGACGUCCGUUCCAAAAAGACAAACGCCCCAGUGCUAACUACCAACAAGUUCAGAGACCAAAGAUCCUCAAUUUGCCUAUUUUAACAUGCCUGAGUGAGCCUAAAACAUAACAUAAUUAGGCAGUUUCCAUGGCAACAGCUAGUAAGCCUCAUGCUGUAUGCAUCCCAUUCCCAUAUCAAAGCCACAUAAAGGCACUGCUCAAAUUUGCAAAGCUCUUGCAUCAUAGAGGUUUUCAUGUAACCUUUGUCAAUACAUUGUACAACCAUAGACUCUUUCUCAAAUCUUUAGGCCCCAACUCCCUUGAUGGCUUGCCAGACUUUCAGUUUGAAGCCAUCCCAGAUGGCCUUCCAACUUCAGAUUCAGAUUCCACCCAAGACCUCGCUGCUCUUUCUGAUUCCAUAUUAAAUACAAACCACUUCUUGGAUUCGUUUCGCGAUCUCCUCGCGAAACUCAAUCUCGAUGCAGCAACUUCCAACACUUGUCCUGUGACUUGUAUUGUAGCAGAUGGUUUCAUGCCCUUCUCCACCACUGUCGCCGAAGAUCUUGGAAUUCCCUGGGUGUCGUUCUUCACUAUUGCUGCAUGUGGCUUCAUGGCCAUCAAACACUUUCGUGCCCUGGUGGAAAGAGGAUUUACACCCCUAAAAGGUGGAGGGCAGAGAGAGGAUAUCUCAAUGAAACAAGAUCUAUGUACUUGGGAAAGGUUCUUUUGUUAGAUGCUUAUAUUGCCGGACUGUGAAUUUGUACCAUACCUUCGAGUCGCACACAGAUUCACAGUCAAGCAAGAGAUCAUUUCCCCCUGUUUAUGAUUCAUUUGAUUCAUAUUACUUAACUCAUUAUAACAUUUCUUUCGUUAUUGUUAAUUUGCAGAUGAGACAUAUCUAACUAAUGGCUACCUAGACACAGUCAUAGAUUGGAUACCUGGACUGAAAAGCAUCCGGCUAAGGGAUCUUCCAAGCUUUGUUCGAACUACAGAUACCAAAAGCAUUGUGUUUAACCUUGGCAUAGAAGCAACUGAAAAGGCAAACAAGGCUUCUGCAGUUGUUAUACAUACUUAUGAUGCGUUGGAGCGGGAAGUUUUGGAUGCUCUCUCAUCUAUGCUUCCCCUUGUUUACACCAUCGGCCCUCUCCAAUUACUCGUCAACCAGCUGCCAGAAGACCCUCUGAAAUCUGUAGGAUACAGUCUAUGGAAAGAAGAAACUGGCUGCCUCCAGUGGCUGAACACCAAGGCCCCAAACUCGGUUGUUUAUGUGAAUUUUGGCAGUGUAGUCGUGAUGACACCAGAACAACUUGUUGAGUUUGGUUGGGGACUUGCAAACAGCAAGCAUUUUUUCUUGUGGGUAAUUAGGCCUGAUUUGGUUGUUGGUGACUCAGCCAUUUUGCCAGCUGAGUUUGUGGAUGAAACAAAAGAAAGAGGACUAAUAGCAAGCUGGUGCCCACAAGAGCAAGUCCUUAACCACCCAUCAGUUGGAGGGUUUUUGACACACAGCGGUUGGAACUCAACGAUCGAGAGCCUGAGUGCAGGGGUGCCUAUGAUCUGCUGGCCGUUCGUUUCGGAGCAGCUAACAAAUUGUUGGUAUACUUGCAAUGAGCUGGGCUGUGGGAUGGAGAUUGAUAGCAAUGUGAAAAGAGAUGAAGUUGAGAAGCUUGUUAGAGAGUUGAUUGAGGGAGAGAAGGGUGAGAAAAUGAGAAAUACGGCUGAUGGGUGGAAGAAACUAGCAGAAGAGGCCACUGGUGCACAAGGUUCUUCAGUCAUAAACUUGGACAACUUAGUGAACCAUGUGCUUCUAAGGAAAAGCUAAGCUAGAUGUAUUUAACAAAUAAACCUGCAACAUGUACUAAUUUUUCUGUUUGAUAAACUAGUUGGCUUGGGUUGGGAUACAUUACAUAUCACUAGCUUGACUUCCAUUUUGUUUAUGCUAUAAAAUGGUUAUGUACAAUUUUUAAUAUAUUUAUACAAAAAUUUACUUUGCAUUUCCUUUUUGUAAGAUAAAUAGGCUGGCUUUUUUUUUUCCUUCUUCUUUUUAAUCAAACAAAAAUGCUGAUUGAACAUUUUCGAAUGAUCAAAUGUCAAUUUUACCAUUUUACAUCCUUAAUUUGCCCAAACUAGUGAAGGAUGAUGGAUAGGUUGAAUUAGUAUCAAAAUAAGUCAAGAGUUCGAUCCAUUUAAUAUAACUAGAAAAGAAAAUUGCGUGACCGGCCCUCUUUCAUUGGCCCCUCUUCUCUCUCUUUCUUUGCAAACUCCUCAAUUGGACUAACGGCCCCUAACAGUCUAUAUGUCAAUCCGACUGAGGAGUUUGCAGAGACAUAAAAAUGAAGGGGAUGGGGUCGUGCCAGAUUGCAUGGAGGGGCCGACAUCAGGAACAGGUUGUCGAUUUUCCAGGUUUUAAUUUUUCAAUGUCGUUGAAUGGUAAAAUGGGAAAUUUCGAGGGGAAAAUUUAGGGGUUGGGUCGAAAUGGACUUUACCUAUUUUGAAAUGGUUAAAUUUGCUAAUUGCACUAACUUGGUCAAAAGGGGGGGAAAAAAAACCGGGAAAGUGAGAGAGAGGGAAAUGAGGGCCAAAAUCAAAAAAUUUAACGAAAACCAAAUAGAAAAUCGAAAUGCCUCCUGAUAUUGUCUCACUGGUGUGAGUCGAGUGAUUCAGAGAGACUGAGACGGAGACUGAGAGAGAAAUGAAGACUGCAGCAAAGAGUUUGGUCAUCGAGAUCGAAGACGACGACUUCCUUUCUCAGGUGGCGGCGGCUGAGGCCCAGGCGCUCGCCAGCAAGCGUCGGCGUAUCAGUAUCGCACCCUCUCCAAACUCCGCCGUUUCUUUCCAUUCCCGAGCGAAUCACAAAGAAGGCUUGGACAGCGAAGAUGGCGGUAUUUACACCGCGGCUCUCAAAGGAAGCCAAAGAGCAGCCCCCGAGCCUCCACGCGGUGGAUUUUCGACGGGGAGAGUCAAUGUCGGCCGGACCGGAAACGACGGCAUUUCUGCUGGCGGUGGUUCGUGCUUCAAGUGCGGAAAACCGGGACACUGGGCCCGCGAUUGUGAUGUCACCGGUGGAGGGUAUUAUGGUAAUUCCGGCGGCGGGGACUCUUCGGCUUCGAUUUCGGUUCCGGAGAAGAGCUGCCCCUGUGGAUUUGGCGCCUGCAUGGUGCUCACUGCAAAUACUGAGAAAAAUCGAGGUCGAAAGUUUUACAAAUGCCCUCUUAGACAGGUUCACAAAUCACAAACCCAUUUCUAUUUUUUUGUCUAUUUUAGGUUUAAGAGAGAAAUGGAUGCCAUGGUUAUUGGUUUUGUUUUCUUGAAUUUUGACAGGAAAAUGGGGGAUGCGGUUUCUUUGAGUGGUGUGACAAUGCUUCUGGGCCUAAUGUAAUGGCUAGUACUGGUAUGGGUAGUGGUAGCGCUACUAGGACCCAUAGUUAUGCUGCAUCUGAUUCUUCAUUUCCUGCUCUUGAAUGUCCCUGUGGCGGUGGUCUGUGCUUAAUCUUAACAGCCAAAACUGGCAAAAACAUCGGCAGCCAAUUCUAUCGUUGCCCUGCAAACGAGGUACCCUUUAACUUGUUGAGCCUAAUUCAUUGAUUUUGGCCCAAUUAGAUAGGAAUGCAUUGCAAAUUUGGAAUCUUUAUUUUAUAUUUAUUAUGUGUUUGAAUUAAAGUCUAAGAGAAACUGCUUGUUUGGACUUUGAAUCGUAAUAGAACUGGAUAGUGGCUUAUUGUUUUUUUUGGCUCGUUUAGGGAUGCGGUUUCUUCAAGUGGUGCAAUGAGCAUACUGGGGCAGCUGCUGGUGUUCUGGGUGGCAGCGCUGCCAAGGUGGAAAGGAAGGUUUUGAGUGAGGCAAGUAACAAUGGCUUUGGUGUAAGAACUGGUUCUUCCUGCUUUAAGUGUGGAAAGGAAGGGCAUUGGGCAAGAGAUUGCCCAGCAGUUCCUUCCUAUAAUGCUCCAGUUGAGUUGGAAGCACGGUCUGCUGCUUCACCGGGCUCUUGCUAUAAGUGUGGCAAGCCAGGGCACUGGGCGAGGGACUGCCCUUCUGGUUAAUGUGCAAUGUACUACUGAAAGACAACCAUUUCUUGAGUUUAAUGUUUGUGUUUUGAAGUUUUUCAAGACUAGCUGUUUCUUGAUAUGAUAUGAGAGAUUGAAAAGAGGAUUAACACAACCAUAUUAGGCCUGGUAAUAGUUUUCUGAGAAACUUGUGGAACAAGUAAAUAGAACUUCAGGAUCUAUGUUGUUUGCCCAUCAUUUUCAUUUCUCAAUAGAAAUUGCUCAUACAGAUUAUACACGUACAUGAAAUGAAUGCUAACACAUGCGUCAAUGAGCUGUAAAUUCUUGGUGAGACUGAUGGGUUGAUACGUUCAAAGAUGAGUAAUGUUACCCAUGUCUUCUGUUAGAGAUGUAGUUUUUCGGCAUUUUUUGUCGGUUCUAAUUUUCGUUAUUCUUUCAGCAUUUUUUUCACAAAAGCCGCCUUCAUUAUGAUUUUUUUUUCACCACAUGCACAUAAUCUCUAAGCUCAGUAUGGACCUUUUAAUGACAGUACAAUAGAAAGAGUAAACCCCACCGUCCUUUAUUUAUUGGACUCAUUGUGAAUUUGUGAUAUAACAAUCCCACACCAAAUUGUUGAUCGCCUAUAAAACUCUACUGCAUGCAUUUCUGUGAAUUGCAAACACAAAACUCAUACACUGACCAACAAAAACUAAGAUGAGUUCAAUUUCAGUUGAUAAUAAGCCUCAUGCUGUAUGCAUUCCCCUUCCAUUUCAAUCCCACAUUAAGGCAAUGCUUAAAUUAGCAAAACUCCUCCACCACAAAGGUUUUCAUAUCACCUUCGUUAACACAGAGUUUAACCACAAGCGCUUUCUUAAAUCUCUAGGACCAAACUCCCUUGAUGGCUUGCCUGAUUUUCAGUUUGAAACUAUUCCUGAUGGCCUUCCAGAUUCAGAUGCAGAUUCCGCCCAAGACCCCUAUCUUCUUUGUGAUUCUGUCAGAAAAAAUUGCUUGGCCCCGUUUCGUAAACUCAUCAUGAAACUCAACGAUACAACUUCCAGCAAUGUUAAUCCUCCAGUGACUUGCAUUGUUUCUGAUGGUUUCAUGACGUUCACCAUCACAGCUGCUGAAGAACUUAGAGUCCCUGUCACACUGUUAUUUACCAUUGCUGCAUGUGCCUUCAUGGUCUCUAAACAAUAUCCCAUUUUGGUAGAAAAAGGACUUGCGCCACUAAAAGGUGAAUAUAUUGAGCCAGUUGUUUAAUUUUAUGAUUCAUUAUGCUUGUUUUCUAAACAAAUGAAUUUUUUCUAUAAUUGCUUGGUUGUUGUAGAUGAGAGCUGCUUAACAAAUGGAUUUCUAGACAAGGUAAUAGAUUGGAUUCCAGCAAUGAAGGGUAUCCGUUUAAGGGAUCUCCCAAGCUUUUUCGAAACUACAAAUGAUCCUAAUGACAUUUUCCUCAACUUCACCAUUGAAGCAAUGGACAGAGCUCAUACAGCUUCAGCAGUUGUGCUUCAUACUUUUGAUGUAUUGGAGAGAGAUGUUUUGGAUGCUCUCUCAUCCAUGCUUCCACCUGUUUAUGCCAUUGGCCCUCUCCAAUUACUUCUCAAUAAGAUACCACAAGAGUACCCUGUGAAGCCUAUGGGAUACAGUUUAUGGAAAGAAGAAACCGAUUGCUUCAAAUGGUUAAACGACAAGGCACCAAAUUCUGUUGUUUAUGUGAACUUCGGCAGUAUAGCAGUCAUGACACCAGAAUGUCUUGUGGAGUUUGGUUGGGGACUUGCAAAUAGCAAGAAUCCCUUCUUGUGGAUAAUUAGGCCUGAUCUGGUGGUGGGUGCCUCAGCAAUUUUGCCACCUGAGUUUGUGGCUGAGACCAAGGAAAGAGCUCUCAUAGCAAGUUGGUGCCCACAAGAACAAGUGCUUAACCACCCAUCCGUUGGAGGGUUUCUAACACACAGCGGUUGGAAUUCAACCAUUGAAAGUUUGUCUGCAGGAGUUCCUAUGGUUUGUUGGCCACUCUUUGCUGACCAGCCAAUAAACUGUUGGUAUGCUUGCAAUGAAUGGGGCUGUGGCAUGGAGAUUGAUAAGAAUGUCAAGAGGGAGGAAGUGGAGAAGCUUGUUCGAGAGUUAAUGGAGGGUGAGAAGGGCAAGAAAAUGAAAAAUAAGGCCAUGGAGUGGAAGAAACUAGCAGAAGAAGCCACUGGUCCACAUGGUUCUUCAUCCACAAACUUAGACAAUAUGGUGAAUCAAGUGCUAUUAAAAAACAACUAGCAGGAUGUACUGCGCACAGUCUAUUGUCUAAGAAAUAAACUAGCAAGAUCGAUCAAGAUGAGCUAUGGCGAGGCUGUUGUCUCUGUUAGCAGCAGCAUAUGCUUAUGAAUAAUUCCGAACAUUACAUUCCCAAUGAGUUGUUAUCUAUAUACUGUUAAACACUUAUGUCUAUGAGCUGAACAAUCUUGCUGGAUUACAUGCUGAUUAAGUUCUAUAUAGAAGGGUCCUUAGUAAUUAUUUCUGAACAGUCUUGAGUAUUUGAUGAAUGAGUAGAGAGGACGAAGAGAAACUGUAAUCAAAUGUGCCAAAGAACUUUAAAUCCUUGGUAAGACUGAGUGGUUUUGUCAGAGGUGUAGUUUUUGUUUCCUUUCACAGCUGCCGCCUUUAAUAUGAGAAUAUUUUCAAUAUGUGGCCUUUACUGAAACUACAAUACAAAGAGCAAAGCCGGCCGUCAAUUGUUUAUUGGACUCAUCGGCAGAUAACAGACACACACUAAAAAACGUUGGCCUGUAAAAUUAUAUGUAUAUAUUGCAUUUGUGCUACAACUGAUACACACAAUCUAAGAUGAGUUCAGUUUUAGUAGUUAAUAAGCCUCAUGUCGUAUGUACUCCGCUUCCAUUUCAAAGCCAUAUAAAGGCAAUGCUUAAAUUUGCAAAGCUCCUCCACCACAAAGGUUUCCAUAUAACCUUUGUCAACACAGAGUUCAACCACAAGCGGUUCUUCAAUCUCUUGGACCCAACUCCCUCGAUGGCUUGCCUGAUUUUCGAUAUGAAUCAAUCCCAGAUGGCCUUCCAAUAAGUUCAGAUACCGAUGAUGAUGGAAAUACUGUCCAAGACAUCCCUUUGCUUCUUGAUUCCAUCAGAAAAAAUUUAUUGGCUCCUUUUCGAAACCUCCUCAGAAAACUCAAUGACACUGCAUUUUCCAGUGCCAACAAUAUUAUUAUUAAUAAUCCUCCAGUGACAUGUAUGGUUUCAGAUGGUUUUAUGACAUCCACCAUCACAGCAGCCGGAGAGCUUGGAAUCCCUGUCGUACUCUUCUUUACCAUUGCUGCAGCCGGCUUCAUGGGCUCUAAACAAUAUUCUGUUUUGGUGGAGAAAGAACUUGCGCCACUCAAAGGUGUGAAAGAGAAAUGGGGAAGCAAUUGUUGUUUCAUGUAUGAUUAUAUAUUGCUUGUUUUUAAACAAAUUAAUGAUGCAACUUUUCUUUACUUGGGUCUUCUAUUGUAGAUGAGAGCUGUUUGACAAACGGCUUUUUGGACAAGGUAAUAGAUUGGGUUCCAGGAAUGCAGGGUAUCCGUUUAAGGGAUCUCCCAAGCUGCUUUCGAACGACAGAUCCGGAUGACAUUGUGUUUAACUUUGCCAGGGAAGCAAUGGAUAGUGUUGAUAAAGCUUCAACAGUUGUUGUUCACACUUUUGAUGCGUUGGAGCCACAUGUUUUGGAUGCUCUUUCAUCUAUGCCUCCACCUGUUUAUGCAAUAGGCCCUCUACAAUUUCUCAAUCAUUUGCCAAAAGACCCUUUGAAACCUAUGGGAUACAGUCUAUGGAAAGAAGAAACUGAGUGCCUCCAAUGGCUAAAUUCCAAGGCACCAAACUCAGUUGUUUAUGUCAAUUUUGGGAGUUUAGUGGUCAUGGCACCACAACAACUUGUUGAGUUUGGAUGGGGACUUGCAAAUAGCAAGCUUCCCUUCUUAUGGGUAAUUAGGCUGGAUUUGAUUGUUGGUGAAUCAGCAAUUCUGCCACCUGAGUUUGAGUUUGAAACUAAAGAAAGAGGUCUAAUAGCAAGUUGGUGCCCACAAGAGCAAGUCCUGAACCACCCAUCCAUCGGAGGGUUUUUGACACACAGUGGUUGGAAUUCAACCAUUGAGAGUCAACUGCGGGUGUGCCUAUGCUCUGUUGGCCAGUCUUUGCCGAGCAGCACACCAAUUGUUACUAUACUUGCAAUGAAUGGGGAAGUGGUUUGGAGAUUGAUAACAAUGUGAAGAGAGAUGAAGUGGAGAAGCUUGUUAGAGAGUUAAUGGAGGGGGAGAAUGGCAAGAAAUUGAAAAUUAAGGCCAUGGAGUGGAAGAAACUAGCAGAAGAAGCCACUGGUCCACAUGGUUCUUCAUCCAUAAACAUGGACAAUUUGGUGAAUCAAGUGCUAUUAAGAAAAAAAAAAUAGAGAUUAUUCGUAAGAAUAAUAUUAAUUUUUGUUGUUAAUGUUAUAGUAAGAUGUAUUCAACUUCCAUUUCCAAGCCAUAUAAAGGCAAUGCUGAAAUUAGCAAAACUCCUGUUCCAUAGAGGUUUUCAUAUAACCUCUGUCAACACAGAGUUCAUCUACAAGCACUGUCUUCAAUCUCCCGGACCCAAUUCUCUUGAUGGCUUGCCUCAUUUUCGAUUCGAAACAACCCCAGAUGGCCUUGCAAUUAGUUCAGAUGAAGACACCGCCAAAGAUAUCACUUUGAGUUUUCAUUCCAUCAGAAAAAUAUUGCCUCCUCAAAAAAGCUCAAAGAAAUUGCAACUUCCUUUAACAUUGAUCCCAGUGACUUGCAUGCAUUGUUUCAGAUGAUUACAUGCCAUUCACAAACUAAUACCCCCCCUCCUCUCUUCCCCCGGCUGAAGAACUUGGCAUUCCUAUCAUACUCUUCUUUACUUUUGCAGCAAGCAACAUUAUGGGCUUUACGGGUGUCUGAAAGUCUGACUGCACUGCAGGGUAAGAAAAAGAAAGAUAAGGUCAUGGAGUGGAAGAAAGUGGCAGAAGAAGCCACCGGUCCACAUGGUUCUUCAUCUACAAACUUGGACAAUUUAGUAAACCGAAUGCUAUUAAGAAAAAGCUAGAUCAUAUUUCACCGGUCCACAUGCCGUACAUAUUCUUUAGGACCUUUUAUGUUUGGCCUUCUUUGCGUUUCUCAAUAAAAACUAGUCAUGUGGAUUUCCUGCUUUUGGAAUGCCUGGAGGUGACUGAACUUUGUACAGAUUAUCAGGCCGGUCCCGAGUUUUCAAAGGCUCAGGGCGAAAAUUUAAAGUAUGCCCUACACACAUUAAUCACUAAUACUAGUAUACUUCUUGUUUUAUUAACUAAGCGUUGGUUUUUUUGAGAAAGUAUUUAUUUGAAAAUAUUUUUAGACUUUGAGCAAUGUCUUCCAUAUUCCUAAAUAAUGAAAAUAAAUGUCCAACUAUGGAUACCAUACCAGUGAGUCAAAGAAUUUCAAGAAUGCAAGUCAAGCUUGUUGACGUGAGUCUCCUAAUUAAUCAAGGAGAUUUACUUCCUUAAUUAAUUAAGGGAUUUACUUUCCUAUUUUUAUAUAAAUGAUAAAUCAUUGUACAAUUAGUAAAUACUUUCCUAAUUAUUUACUGUAUCUAAUUCCUUGUAAAACCCUCAUGUAAACUCCUAUAUAUACCUCCUUAAGGAGAAGAAUAAAACUCAACCCAAAGUAUUCAAACCAUAUUCAUAUUUUAGCAUGGUAUCAGAGCAAUCGAUCCUAGGUUGCCUGUAAACCCUUAUCUCAAAUUUCUCAUAUUCAAAUCCAAAACCCUAAAUCAAUUUCCUCAUAUUUUUCCCCAAAUCCAAAUCCCUCAAAUAUAAAGUCCUCAAAUCCUCUUAUCAAAAUCCCUACACACAUACCCUCCAAUCUUAUACACAUACCUCUCAAAUCCAAUUCAUGCAUCAAAUUCAUACAUCAAAUUCCUCAAAUCAAAAUCUCUUACAUUCUCAUAUCACAUUUUACUUCCGCUGCAAUGUCAAGAACCCUUACGAUUCUCCCCUUUAUUGCAGACUCAAAGAAGUAUGCAGUCAAUCCUGCUGACCUGGCUACUCUGACUCAUGCUUCUAUCGCCACCACAAAAGGUUCUACUUUUCAUACAUCAUCUCAAAAAUCUGCAUGGAUUAUCGACUCGGGUGCUACGGAUCACAUGACUUUUGAUCCUAGCCAACUUAUUAGUCGCAAAUCAUCCACUCUGUUGGCAGUGUCUAAUGCUAAUGGUACCCCCUCCCCUGUGGUUGGGGAGAGCUCUCUAUCUCUCUCUAUUUCCCUACAUCUGAAUUCUGUAUUACUUGUUCUAUCUUUAGACCAUAACUUGUUAUCUAUUGCACAACUUACUACUACUUUGGGAUGUACCGUAACAUUUUGGCUGAAUCAUUGUGUUUUUCAGGACAUCCUCACAUGAAAGACGAUUGGUUGUGGUACUUGAUGGGGCAAACUCUACUACUUGGACUGGGCACCAGAUAAUGAGGUUAAGGUUGGUCAAGCUUUCAGAACCAGUGGAACUCGUUCUGAGAGGGAGAGAGACAAAAUUUGGUUAUGGCAUAAACGUCUUGGGCAUGCCUCAUUCGGUUAUCUUAAGAAGUUGUUUCCAUCAUUAUUUUCCUGCCUUGAUGUUUCCAACUUCCAGUGUGAUACGUGUGAAUUGGCUAAGAGCCAUCAUGUCCCAUUCCCAUUAAGUUCAAAUAAGAGUUUGGUUCUGUUUUCCCUUGUUUAUUCUGACGUUUGGGGACCUGCUAAAAUUGCCACUCCGACAGGGGUGCAAUGGUUUGUUACGUUUAUAUUGUACACGCAUAACUUGGGUUUCCCUUCUCAAAACUAAAGGGGAAGUCAGUUCCAGGUUUCAACAGUUUUAUCAAAUGGUAGAGACUCAGUUUCAUGCCCAAAUUCAGGUUCUUCGUUCUGACAAUGGCAGAGAAUUUCUCAACCAUGAUCUUAACCAGUUCUUACAAGAUCAUGGCAUCAUACAUCAACGCUCAUGCCCUUACACUCCCCAAUAGAAUGGGGUGGCUGAAAGAAAGAACAGACACUUAUUGAAGUCAUUCGUGCCUCUCUCUUUGGUGCCAAUAUGCCAUGAUCUUUUUGGGGCGAAGCAGUCGUCUCUGCAGCAUACCUUAUCAAUCAGAUUCCCUCUAGUAUCCUAAAUUUCCAAACACCACUUCAAACACUUCACCACCAUAUCCUUCCACCCCAAACCUGGAACCCCGAAUUUUUGGUUGUGUUGUAUUUGUCCACUUACACGAUCACCAAUGGAGUAAAUUGGAUCCCCUAGCCGAAAAGUGUAUUUUCAAUGGCUAUGCACCUCAUCAGAAAGGAUACCGGUGUUAUCAUCCUCCUAGUUAGAAGGUCUUCACCUCCAUAGAUGUUGUGUUUUGGGAACAUGACUUACAUUUUUCAACAGCCCAUGAGGAGAAUUGAGAAUCCACCACUACUCCAAUUCUCGAUUUUUUUUCCCCAGGACGUCACUCUGCAUCAAAAUGAUCAGUUGCCAGUGGAAAGCAACCGGUCACCUCCCCUUAGUUCUUCAACUACAGAGAACUUGCUUCAAAAUGAUUAGUCGCCAGAGGAAAACAAUCAGUUGUCUCCACGCUGUCAAAAUCAGGAGGAGGAAAUUGAACCAUUUUAUGAAAUUUUGCCCGCUUCAGCUCCAAUACUACACCAAUCACUUGCUGAGGAAGUCAUUCAGGUAACAUCUUUUCUUGAAACUGAUAACACUAAUGAAAUAUCCCAUGAUGAUUUGAUUUCAGAAGGCACAGAGCCUACAUAUUAGCUUCUAGAAAGGAAGAACCGUGGCAAACCUCGAGUACAAUAUGAAGCAGAUCUUAAAGCCAAAGGAAAAUACCCCAUCAAUAAUUAUAUAUCUCUCAGCAGAUUAUCAGAGUCACGUGUGCAUUAUGUGAAGCAAUUGGCUGACAUAUAUGUCCCUAACAGUGUAAUUGAAGUACUAAACGACCCAAAAUGGAAAGAAGCUAUGAAUGAAGAAAUGUGAGCUCUCCAAAAGAAUGUUACAUGGGAACUCGUGCCCUUACCUCAUGGAAAGAAGACAGUAGGAUGCAGGUGGAUUUAUACUAUGAAACUCAAAGCAGAUGGAUCCGUUGAAAUAUAUAAAGCUAGAUUGGUGACGAAAGGGUACACACAGAGAUAUGGGAUAGACUACAAGGAGACCUUUGCCCCAGUAGCCAAGAUUAACAUUAUUAGAGUCCUAUUGUCUCUAGCAGCAAAUCUCGAUUGGCCACUACAUCAGUUUGAUGUCAAAAAUGCAUUCUUACAUGGAGACUUGGAAGAAGAAGUAUAUAUAGACUUACCCCCAGGAUGUAAUUCAGCUCAUGACAAGAAAAAUCAAGUUUGCAAAUUCAGAAAGUCAUUAUAUGGGUUAAAGCAAUCUCCCAGGGCAUGAUUUGGCAGAUUUACUAAAUCUAUGAAGAAUUUUGGAUAUACACAGAGUAAUUCAGAUCACACCCUGUUCUUAAAGCGUGAUGAAGGAAAACUUACUACAUUGAUUGUUUAUGUAGAUGACAUAAUCAUAACUAGAAACGACGCAGAAGAGCAACUAAAGUUGCAAAAGUAUUUGUUUCGGGAAUUUGAGAUAAAGGAUUUAGGUGAUCUGAAGUACUUUCUCGGAAUUGAAGUAGCAAGAUCAAAAACUGGUAUAGUUCUGUCUCAAAGGAAGUAUGUAAUGGAUCUACUCACUGAAACAUGAAUGCUUAUAUGUAAGCUUGCUGACACACCCAUUGAGAUGAAUCACAAGUUGUGAUAUGGACCAAGAACCAACCAAUAAGGAACAGUACUAACGCCUUGUUGGAAGGUUGAUAUACCUGGCACACACAAGACCAGAUAUUGCAUAUGCUGUGAGUGUGGUUAGUCAGUUUAUGCAUUCGCCCAGUGUUUCUCAUAAGAAUGCAGUUGAUCGAAUCUUAAGAUACUUAAAGUCAACCCCUGGGAAAGGAUUAAUGUUUUCAAAAAAUGGAGAUAUUGAAGUUGUUGGAUACACAGAUGCUGAUUGGGGCGGUUCCAUUACAGAUAGACGCUCUACUUCAGGUUACUUUACAUUCGCGUGAGGUAACCUAGUCACUUGGAGGAGUAAAAAGCAAAAUAUGGUUUCUCGGUCUAGUGCAGAAGCAGAAUAUCAAGGAAUGGCUCACAGAGUUUGUGAAUUAUUGUGGAUUAGAAGACUCUUGACAGAAUUGGGCUUCAAGUCAGAAAAGCCAAUGGAGUUGCAUUGUGACAACAAGUCAGCUAUCGAUAUUGCCCAUAAUCUAGUUCAACAUGAUCGAACCAAACAUGUUGAGGUGGAUAUACAUUUUAUCAAAGAAAAAAUUGAGAAAAAGAUCAUCCGCCUACCAUUCGUAAAAUCAGAAGACCAACUCGCAGAUAUCUUAACCAAAGCUAUUUAUGGAAUAGUAUUUCAUGACUCACUUACCAAGUUGGGCAUUUGUGACAUAUAUGCACCAAUUUGAGGAGGAGUGUUGACGUGAGCCUCCUAAUUAAUCAAGGAGAUUUAGUUCCUUGAUUAAUUAAGGGAUUUACUUUCCUAUUUUUAUAUAAGUGAUAAAUCAUUGUACAAUUAUAAGAUACUUUCCUAAUUCUUUACUGUAUCUAAUUCCUUGUAAAAUCCUCAUGUAAACUCCUAUAUAUACCUCCUCAGGGAGAAGAAUGAAACUCAACCCAAAGUAUUCAAACCAUAUUCAUAUUUUAGCAAAGCCAAUAUCAAAGAAUUUCUUUUAAAACUCUUGUCAUGGAUCCUUUGUUCCAAAAUUUCAGGUUCAUCUCAAUAUCCUAUUCCUAAACAUUAUGAAAAAAAUAUUAAAUCAAUUUAUAAUAAUAUAAUAUAACUCUUAUUAUAAUAAUAAAAAAUUAGAACCCCCUUGAAUAAUGGGCCCAAGACAAUCGCAUUGACUGCCCCUAGUCAGGGCCGAAACUGCAGAUUAUCGAAGCACGUUUUCUUUUUCCAUCGACAACAAAACCAAACACUAGAAAGUCUAUAAUUGACUGGCCGCCAAACAGUUUUAGGUUUGAAGAUUUACAAUUAUUAACAUAGGUCAGAGAAUUCACCUAACUUAAUUGCUUUGACCACAGGGAUGCUCCAUUCAUAGUAUAGAGUCCAUUAUUAAUGUGUGUGCCAUGGACUUUUUCCUAGGACUCAUCAACCAAAGAUCAACUAACAUUAAGAUAAUCUUAACUAGUAGAAAACAGAGAAUUAGAGACACGUUUUUAGGUUAGUUGGCCUUGCUUUAACAUAAAGAUCAAACGGCACUAUCAUGUCCAGCCUUGAUAUUGUUGUCAUAUGACAGAGCCACACAAAAGCAAGAGUAAUAAAUUAUAACGCAUGCAUACACUUCAUCUAAUUCAAAGAUGAGUUCCAUGGCAGUACGAGAUAGGCCUCAUGUUGUAUGUCUUCCAGUUCCACUUCAAAGCCAUAUCAAGGCAAUGCUUAAGUUAGCAAAACUCUUCCACCAUAGAGGUUUUCAUGUGACCUUUGUCAACACAGAGUUCAACCACAAGCGCUUUCUUCAAUCUCUUGGACCCAACUCCCUUGAUGGCUUGCCUGAUUUUCGAUUCGAAACCUUCCCAGACGGUCUUCCAGUCAGUUCAGAUGAGGAUACUUCCCAGGACAUCUUUUUGCUUUUUAAUUCAAUGCGCGAUAACUUCUUGCCUCUGUUUCUUAACCUCCUAAAAGAACUCAAUGACAGAGCAGCUUCCGGCAAUACCAACCCUCCAGUGUCUUGUAUUGUUUCGGAUGGUUUGAUGCCGUUCCCCAUCACAGCUGCCGAAGAACUUGGAAUUCCUAUUGCAAUGUUCUUUACUAUUUCUGCAGGCGGCUUCAUGGGCUCUAAACAGUAUCCUGCUUUGGUGGAGAAAGGACUUGCACCACUCAAAGGUGAAAGAAACUAAUAUUGAAGCACUUGUUUACAUUUAUGAUUCUAUAUAUUGCUUGUUUCUAAAGAAUAGAUUUGUAUAUAUUGCUUGUUUCUAAAGAAUAGAUUUGUGUGCCUGAUCAAAGCUUAAUUUUUAGAUGAGAGCUAUUUCACAAAUGGCUUUUUGGACAAGGUGAUUGAUUGGAUUCCAGGAAUGAAAGGUAUCCAUUUACGGGAACUUCCGACAGUGUUUCACAUUACAAAUCCAGACAACAUCUUUUUUAAGCUCACAGUGGAAACAAUGGAUAGAGUAGAUAAAGCUUCAGCUGUUGUUCUUCUUACAUUUGAUGCAUUGGAACAAGAGAUUCUGGAUGCUCUCUCAUCUAUGCUUAUCCCACCUAUUUAUACAAUUGGUCCUAUUGAAUUACUACUUGUCAAUCAGAUACCAGAAGACCCUUUGAAGUCUGUUGGCUAUAGUCUAUGGAAAGAAGAAACUGAGUGCCUCCAAUGGCUAAAUUCUAAAGAGCCAAACUCGGUUGUUUAUGUGAAUUUUGGCAGUCUAGCGGUCAUGACACCUGAACUUGUUGUUGAGUUUGGCUGGGGACUUGCAAAUACAGAUUAUCCCUUCUUGUGGGUAAUUAGGCCUGAUUUCGUUGCUGGCGAAUCGGCGAUUUUUCCACCUGAGUUUGUGGCUGAAACCAAGGGAAGGGGUGUAAUAGUAAAUUGGUGCCCACAAGAGCAAGUCCUUAACCACCCAUCAGUUGGAGGGUUUUUGACACACAGCGGCUGGAAUUCAACCAUUGAGAGUUUGUCUGCCGGAGUGCCUAUGAUCUGUUGGCCACUCUUCGCGGACCAGCCAACAAACAGCUGGUGUACUUGCAAUCAAUGGGGCAGUGGCAUGGAGAUGGAUAAGAAUGACAAGAGAGAGGAAGUGGAGAAGAUUGUUAGAGAGUUAAUGGAGGGAGAGAAGGGUAAGACAAUGAAAAGUAAGGCCAUUGAGUGGAAGAAGCUAGCAGAAGAAGCAACUGGUCCACAAGGUUCUUCAUCCACAAACUUGAACAAUUUAGUGAAUCAAAUGCUAUUAAGAAAAAUCUAGAUCUUAUAUCCAUAAGAAUGUGUUAAUUAAUUAAGUGUAUGUUAUUGCUGGUCUUAAUUUAGAACUAUAAAGAUGUCUUGCAAGAUCUGCAUUUGCAGUCCCUCCCUCUUUACCAUCUAUCUAUAAUUUCGUUUUGCUCAUGAACCAAUGCUUAGCUUGGUUCUACUUUCUUUCUCAAUUUAAUAUUGAUAUACAAGAGAAAACUAAGAUUCUGACCAAAAAAAAAUUAGCAGCUAUUGAAAAAAAAUGGAUGGUGACAAACUAGCAAAUAAUAUGUGACCUUAGCUCUAUUUUCUUAUUUAAUAUUGAUAUACCAGGGAAAACUAAAAUAUUAUCACAAAAAUAUUUUAGGAAUUAGGUUUCUGAUUUUUAUAUUUUAAUUUCAAUUUUGUUUGGAUCUAAAAAAUAGUUUGGAGUUCGAUACCAAAAGAGUUUUAGAUCCUAAAAUUAGUAUUUUAAAAUGUGAUAAGAUAAGGUGCAAUGCGGGAGUUUCUGUAUAAUACAAUUAUAUAAUUAUAUUGAUAUGGACUAAUUAAAAUUCGUUAGAUUAAUCGAGUGGUUAAUAUUAUCUUAAAUACGCAUAAAUGCACCAAUACUAUUCAAUUGAGAUUUUAAAAGACUAUUUAGGUAUAAAAAAAGUCUUGCAGAUUUAAGAAAAAUGUAAUGACUUAUAGAAUUUUAUUUAUAGAUUUUUAUAAUCAAGAUUUGAGAUAUGGUUUGGUAUUUAUACUUCCUACUAAAAAAAUCUCACAAAAUUCAACAUUUAAAAAAAUACCUUCGAAAUUAGCAAAUUUUUUAAUACCAUAAAACUUUUUGUUACUUGUUUAAAGUCUUAAUUGAAUACCACUAGAUUUGGCCACUCUCUUUUAAAAAUCAUAAUAGUCCUAAUGGAAACCACAAUACUUGUUUAGAUAAUUUAAAAGUCUUAAUUGAAUACCACAAGAUUUAUUUAUCCCAAAAUAGUCUUUUAAAAUCCCAAUUAAAUACACUAAAUGCAGAAGCUCGGGAUUCAAUGGCUAGUAAAGGAGAAAAGAUUCGUGCUCAAGUGGUUGAGUUUUGGAUUGGCUUUGCAAGAUUAGUUGUUUUCUUGAAUAUGAUAUGAGAUAGGACCUAAACUUGUAUGCCCUCGUUUCAUUUUUCAAUAUAUUCAUGUGGCUUUCUUUGUAGCUUUUGAUUGAUUACGUUUCUUUGUAGCCAUAUGCUGUUUUUUUAUAUAUCAUUUGUUAGUUGGUGGUUCUUGACUUUGUCUUAACACCAAACAUAAAAAAAUAAAUUAAAAAAUAAAAAAUUUGUCCCAAUGAGCUGAAGAUUCUGACAGAAACUAAGAUUCUGACAAAAAUAUUUUAGUCGCUAUUGGAAAAAAAUGGAUGGUGACAACAAAAUUACUAUAAAAUGGUGGUGGUGGUCCUCUAUGUUUGCAAAACUAGUAUAAGGGAAAAGAGUCGUGCUCAAGUGGUUUGUUGCCUUUUUUUUUUUCUCGGUUGCAUGAGUUUCGGAUUUGCAAGAUUUGUUGUUUUCUUGAAUUGAAUAUGACAUGAGAUUGGACCAAAAUUGGUGUUUGAUAAGGACUGAAAUGUUGUUUGCAUGUAAUGUAUGGCCCUCGUUUCAUUUUUCAAUUCAUGUAGCUUUCUGUCUUGCUUUUGAGUGCCUUAUUAGUGAUUGAUUCAUAUACGUCUGUAUAGUAACAUACAAGUUACAAAAUUCUAACAAAUAAUGGUGAUCGCAGAUAUAGGCUUAGUCAAGUUAGUUAGGACAGAUUGCCCUAUAUUCUGCAUCCGAGUUCGAAUUCUCUUCCCUUUAGUUUAGACUAAAUUAAAGUAAAAUAUCAUUUCUAUAAAAUAAAAAUAAUGGUGAUAAUAUAUAUUCAAUGAUAUCUCUUGGUGCUUUUAGGUUGUCUGCCAUUUGCUGUUUUUUUAUAUAUUAUUUUUCAGCCUAGUGGUUCUUGAUUUUGUCUUUCUUGCAGCAGUAGAAAAAGGAACAAAUCCAGCCGUCCAUUACUGUCGUAUAACCUGCUGACUCUUUCUAGGCUGCCGGGUCUCCUUGUCAUAAGUCAGACAUGGCACGAAAAUGUUGUUAGAACUAUAAAGUUUUACUGCAUUUGUGUUGUGAGUGCAAAUAUUGUUCAUAUGUGCAUACACUGACUGUACACACAAUCUAAGAUGAGCUCCAUAGAAGUUCAAGGCAAUAAGCCUCAUGCUGUAUGCAUUCCCUUUCCAAUUCAAAGCCAUAUAAAGGCAAUGCUGAAAUUAGCAAAGCUCCUACACCAUAGAGGUUUUCAUAUAACCUUUGUUAACACAGAAUUCAACCACCGCCGCUUUCUUAAAUCUCUUGGACCUAACUCCCUCGAUGGCUUGCCUGAUUUUCAAUUCGAAACCAUUCCAGAUGGUCUUCCAGCUUCAGAUGAGGAUGCCGGCCAAAACGCCUAUUUGCUUUGUGAUUCCAUCAGAAAAAAUUUCUUGGCAGUAUUUCGUAACCUCCUUUUAAAACUCAAUGACAUGGCAACUUCUAAAAAUAUUAGUAAUCCUCCAGUGACUUGCAUUGUUUCAGAUGGUUUCAUGACUUUCAGCAUCACAGCUGCUGAAGAACUUGGAAUCCCUGUUGCACUGUUCUUUACUAUUGCUGCAAUUGGAUUCAUGGGCUGUAAGCAAUAUCCCACUUUGGUAGAGAAAGUACUUGCACCACUCAAAGGUGAAAGAAGUAUUCAUAAUAUUGAAGCAGUAGAGCAAUUUUUUGCUAAAUUUCUUCUUGGUUUUUUUCAAAAUGAUGAUUAAUUUUUUCUUGACUUGGGUGUUGCAGAGGAGAGUUAUUUAACAAAUGGCUUUUUGGACCAGGUCAUAGAUUGGGUUCCCGGAACGAAAGCUAUUCGUUUAAAGGAUCUCCCAAAGUCCUUUCAAACUACAAACCCCAACGACAUCUUGUUUAAAUUAACCUUGGAAGCAAUGGACAGAGUUGAUAAAGCUUCAGCAGUUGUUCUUCAUACUUUUGAUGAGUUGGAGGCAGAUGUUUUGCAUGCUCUCUCAUCAAUGCCUCCACCUGUUUAUACCAUUGGCACUCUCCGGUUACUUCUCAAUCAGAUACCACAACACCCUUUGAAGUCCAUGGGAUAUAGUCUAUGGAAAGAAGAAAUUGAAUGGUUCCAAUGGCUCAAUGCUAAGGUGCCAAACUCGGUUGUUUAUGUCAACUUUGGCAGCAUAGUGGUCAUAAAAUCAGAAGAUCUUAUUGAGUUUUGUUGGGGACUUGCAAAUAGCAAGCUUCCCUUCUUCUGGGUAGUUAGACCUGAUCUGUUAGUUGGUGAAUCAGCAAUUUUGCCACCUGAGUUUGUUGCUGAAACUAAGGGAAGAGGUUUGGUAGCAAGCUGGUGCCCACAAGAGCAAGUCCUUAGCCACCCAUCAAUUGGAGGAUUCUUAACACACAGUGGUUGGAACUCAACCAUUGAGAGUCUUUCUGCAGGAGUUCCCAUGCUCUGUUGGCCAUUCUUUGCCGAACAACGAAUAAAUUGUGUCUAUACUUGCAAUGAAUGGGGCAUUGGC
This 64657-nucleotide long non-coding RNA is filed under the name Prunus persica (peach). RNAcentral's name for it is "long non-coding RNA (PPER_LNC003784)". The record is from RNAcentral. Lineage: Eukaryota; Viridiplantae; Streptophyta; Magnoliopsida; Rosales; Rosaceae.